This 67163-nucleotide long non-coding RNA is filed under the name Populus trichocarpa (black cottonwood). RNAcentral's name for it is "long non-coding RNA (PTRI_LNC004304)". Lineage: Eukaryota; Viridiplantae; Streptophyta; Magnoliopsida; Malpighiales; Salicaceae. The record is from RNAcentral.
GAUGCCAAAUUGGAUGAGCUACAGGGGAGAAGGAUGCUCAUUGUCAUUCCAUAUACCUCCAGUCUUCCAAGGCUUAGUUCUUUGGUUUCAUAAGGAUUCUCAUUGUCACUUCCACAUUGACAUUAUUAUUAUUAUAAGAAAUAAAAGCAACGGUAUUCAAUUGUUUGAAGAAAAACAAUUACCAAUAGACACGGUACGUGGAAGGGUGGGAUGGACAAGAUACAUAAGUAGAAGUGAAAUGGCAAUGGAAGAUUACUGUGGAGAUGACGAAUUGGAACUAUACGUAUAUUCAAAGCCAUCAAUACUUGCGGUGUACAGAGGUUGGCAAUUAAAACCCGGACACAUUAAAGAAUAUGGGGUCCAUGUGAUCGCAGGGAAGUCAGAUUCAUUUGAAGAGUCGGCAGUGGGAAGAGAUGCAGUGAUGCCUUCACCACCGCUGUAUCAUCUGCUUCCUCAUCCCCAUUGUGGUUCGAUUACAGCGUCUACACCUAAGCAAUGGAGUGACUAUUUAUCUGCGAAGCUAGAAGGACAUAGCCUCGAUUUAAGACUUGAUGGUGAGAACAAAUAUUUCAUUUAGUUAUUUUUAUUCUAUUAUAUUUAAUUUAUGAGAUUAAAUAUUAUCUUUAAUGAUUUUAUUAUUAUUAUUUAAUCUAAAAAAUUAAAUAUCAUCUUUAAUAAAAAAAUAUUAAAUAUUUAAGGCUUUUUGGUAAGAAUACAUAUUUCCUUUAGUUAUUUCUAUUUUAUUCUAUUUAAUUUAAGAGAUUAAAUAUCAUCUUUAAUUCUUACAUUUUUCUUAUUUAAUCUAAAAAAUUAAAUAUUAUCUUUAACAAUAUUUUUUAUUAAAUAUUUAGAGUUUGCUUGGUUUUAUUUCUUUUCUUGAUUUUAUAAUAAUAUUUUUCUUAUUUAAUAUAAAAAAUAAAUAUUAUCUUUAACAAUUAGAUCUAUCGAAUAUCACUUAAAAAUAAAUUAUAACUUUAAUAAUUAUUUUUUGAAAAACAAAAGGCCAACAAUCACUAACAUAUUUUAUUAAAAUCACUUUAGUUUAUAUAGAAAAUAUUGAAAACUGAUUUUUGUUUUUUUACAUUAAAAUAAAAAAUUGAAUAAUGUUUUUAUAUUUUAUUUCAAACUCGAUAUUUUAAAACAAAAAUGAAAAAGAUGUGAUAUUAACAUUUUUUAUUAUAAAGUAAGUUUUUUAAUUAAAAGUGAUGGGAAUUUGUUUUUAUUGCAUGUACAAUCAUGCACAUUUAACUUUCUUUUUAAAUUUGAUGGUUUUUUAGGACGGAAAUGGCUUGAAGGUGGUGAAGGCUUUGAUUGACAUGAGAGUACAAGAUUAGUUUACAUAGAGAUGCUUGAAGUUGCUCCAAAUCAGUACGAUACUUUCAUCUGACAUGUUGAUAUGUAUUUGUUGGCUUGAAGAUUAUUUUCCAAGCUUGGAAGUUUUAUUGAAUUCUCUUUGAAAUCUUUUCCAUCCGCUGGACAACUUAUAUUAUUAUGCAUGAUGUAAUUUAUAUUUUCAAGUUACAAAUUUUGAUGAAUAUUGUUUCAUUUUUUUCCUCAUUUCAAAAGAUGAAAAUCCUUGAUCUUAGUUAGAAAUAAAUUGGUUUUCUAGGAAGAGAUUAUUGAUUGGAAUAUAGUAUUUGAAUUGGUUCUUCAUCAUUUACUGUUAUAUAUAAUUUAAAAUAAUUGAUGAAAAUACAUAGAAAAGUUUUGAGAGCAUCCUUAAUUAGUCUAGUAAGUAAAGUGUUGUUAGUUUUGACUAUAAGAUCUUGCUAUGUAUUAUUGCAUGGUUUUUACUAUUUUUUUGCAUUUCUUCUUUUUGUAUAUACAACUUUUGUUUUUCUUGCCGCUUGUCAUUAGCUUUAUGGCACCAACACCAAUUAAUAAUAAAUCUUGAACUAUUAUUAAAUAAAGAAAAAAUAUAAAUAUCGUUAAAAUACCAAACUUGAAUUGCUCAAUCCUAAAGAAACCCUAUGACAAUAAUCUAAUUUAGAAAAUAAUUAAUUUAUCCUUGUAGUCUAAGAAAAUAGUAUUUAAUUCUUAUGUUUUCAUAUACAUCUAUGAUUUAAUAUGUUGAUUGAAAUUGGCAAGUGAGUUUACUCACGUAUUGUUAUAUUGGUUUUGAGUUCAAAUAAAUGUUUAAAAAGGGAGUUUUUUCAUGAAUGUAACCCUUCAAUAUAUGAAUGUUUAAAAUUGUAUUCAAUAUGAAUGAUGGAUGAUUUUGCUAAGAAUUGGUUGGUAAAAAACUUAAUUUCGAUAUAUAAAAACUUAAGAGACAACAAUAAAUAGAGAGACUAGUAAAGAUUUUAUGUGCUUUCUUGUUUUUUUUUUUUAAUUGGAUUACCUUUGUCUUUUGUUUCAAGUAAAAUUCUAGUAUAUAUCACUAAAUUAAGAAUUAAAGGUCUAAUUAUAUGAAACACAAUUUUAAAGACUACAUCAACUACAUUUCAUAUGCUCAACUCUAAGCAAAUUGAAAUUUCAAGGCCAUUUGUAUCUUGAAAACACAAUCUCAAUAAUCUUAAUAUUGAAUUAUUAUUUGUUGAGUUGGAAAAUAGCACUAAGGAACACAAAAGCCGUACUGUUUAUCUUCUUGGCAUUGUUCAAAGGAACGCAAAAAGAUACUCCAAUUGUGAAAGAUUAUUAUUGUCAUAAAGUAAAACUUUCAAUAUAGAGAGUGAAAUAAAGAGCAAGAGCAAAAAAAUAAUUCGUGUGUGUAUUAGCUAAAUGAAAUGAAGAUUAGAGUAAAAAGGAUAAAAAAAAAAAAAAAAAAUAGAGAGAGAGACUCGUUAAGAUUUUAUGUUGGUGCUCAACAUGUUCUUUCUUAUUUUUUUUUUUUUUUUAAUUUUAUCUUAACGAGUGAAAUAAAGAAACACUCCCCCCAUCUUUCUUGUUCCCUUUCCCUUCUUUACAUGGCUUACUCAGUGAAAAAGCAAUUAAACACCCCAUUUGAUUUUCAAUCAGUAUGAGAGUGAGAGAGAGAGAGGCCAAGGUGGUCCUUGAAUAUUUUCUUCUUUUUUGUCUCGCUCACUGGGGCAAACCAUUUUUUCCAAAAUUUUGAAUAGCAUGCGAUCAAAAAGAAUUUUGAAUAGCAUGCCAUCAAAAGGAAUUUUGUUCAAUCCCAAUCCCACAUUGUCUGUAGAAGUAUUUACUUUUGACUGUACACUUUGUUAUUUUCCAAUCCCUCCCCAGUUCUGCAACCAUUUCUCUACUUUCUAUGCUCUUGGCUUGCUAAAAACUAAAGAAAACACAUUGCUCUACUUGCCUGCCUUCACUCUUCAGAUUGCUCAACAAAUCCCUUGAGACCUUCUCCAUAGUUAACACAUCACAUAAUGGCUACUCUAAAAAAUUUAGCCAUAAACAUUGAACACCUUGAGCAAUCAACGUGCCUUCCUUCACAAUAUCCAUCACCCAUAAAUCUUUCUUUUGGGAUGUCGCCGGGAGUUUAAUUUCCGUGUAAAAAUUAUGUAUAAAUUUCCAUUCUUUCCUUCCAUCCAUUACUUGUCCUCUAUGAAGAUUCUAUGUAUGAAAUCUCGGAAUCUUUUCGAGUAUAACUUGGGAUCAACAGCUGAGAUAGACGUGGGAUCCACUUCUAAGGACUUGUAUGCAUGCUCUAGCUUUUUGCUGAUAUCAUAAUCCUAGAGAUACCAAAGUGAAGAACUACAUCUCACAAUCACCAAAAUUCAAAGUAAAGUAACGGAGAAGAAAAUCUGAUAACAAUGAAUGAUCACUCAUUAACCACAGCGAAUCUUACGCUUUGAAAACACUUUUCACCAUCAAUUUUCCUUUUCUCAUUGAUUUUAAAUCUUCCAGGCAGAUAAAAUAGCAUUGGUUUUAUUCAUCAGCUUAGGCAUCAACAACAUGUUGCAUCCACAAUCUUACUACUACAUUAUAAUUAUAAACAAAGCUAAAAAAAUAUAUAUAUGAGGACAGAGUUAACAGACAUGCACUAAGAGUUAACAGACAUGCACUAACACACACUGUGCAAAUCAGUGUACAGCUGUUAUAACAAACAAGUGUACAAUCUGUUUUCUCCAACCUUCCAGCAUUAUUCUCCCGAGCAUAUUCUGUCAGCUCAAGAUUAGGCAAUUCUGUUAACCAUUCUGUUAGCUCUGUUCUCUUUUGUUGUAUAUAUACUUGAUUGAUUGAUUGAUUCAAUAACAUUAUCUUUCUCUCUUCUCACCUGCCCCCUUUUUCUUCUCCUUUUACCUCUAGCUUCCAAUGCCUAUCAACACCACCAUCCUUAACACAAAUGAAUCUCACAGCAUGUUGAUUACCAUCAAUGUAGCAGCCCAAACUCCAUUAAAACUUAUCUCCACCAGGCACCAACUAUCUAGCCUGGAAACUUUGUUGGGGAUUCCGGCUCCCCCAUGCGCGGACCGGGGGUGUACUGAUAGUUGCUCAACGGAGGGUAAAGCACACUGAUACAAUAUUUUACGUGGUUCGGCAAAACCGCCUACAUCCACGGGAGAGUCCAUAUUAUUAGAGAUAUAUAGAGAAAGGAUUACAACAUACAUGGAGGAGGAGGAUCACUUCACUCAAACUCAAUUCCCAGCUCUUUUGCUACACUUACAGCUGCUGCAAUGGCAGCAGCCAUUGCAGCUCUCUCUUUCUCUCCACUCUCUUGCACACACUCACGUUCUCUCUCUCUCAUUUUUCUCUCAAAUAUAAGCCUCCUUUAUAGGCAUUUCAUGGUCAACAUGGAGGGGCCAAUAGCCUUAAAGCAUGGCAUGAAUUGUGGCACAAUUCAUGCUUCCACUUGCUUAGUGGUGGGGUAUUGCCACAAAUGGCAAUAUCCUAACAAUCACCCCCUUUGCCAUUUGUGUGGGCAAUUGUCCUCUUGCUUCUUCAGCACAGGCUUGCAUCUUGCAGCUCUUCCAAGCUUACCAUUCUGAGAGCGUCUUCAACACAACAUUCCCUUUCGAGUGUAUCAAUCAUGCUCGGUCCGGAAUGAUUUUUCAAGCCUUACACCAAGGCUUACAACACCCCCUCAAAUAGAUAUUUCUAAGUGCGACAGUCAUUUAGUAUUUCAAUGUGAUCACAAGCUCACCACUCUUCCAAGAGUCUACUCAUCCAAGAGUUGUGCCUGCCCUCUGUUCCACCCUAGGAACCACGUCUUACUUCUCCGUGAGUCUCUCGCUCUUAGUCGUAAGAGUCCAGGUAGCUCUCCACCUUUAACCAUAGGGGCAGCCCAUUAAAGGUUGAUUCAUAUCUGUCUUCAUACUCUGAGUAUUACAAUGCCAUUACCGAGCUCACCACCUUAACAAGAGUCAACUCGUUCUCGGAACCUGCGCAUGCCCUUCUGCUUCUUCAUAGCAGCCGCGUCUUAAUGCUCCACAAGUCACACACUUAUUGUCCAAGGCAAAUGUCUUCUAGCUCAUUGAUCUUUAGCAUGGGGGCAAUAUCCAUGAAAGUCAAUCCUGCAUUUGUCUCCAUACUCAUCAUAGCCACUUCAUUGGCUAUCUAUACACUUGUCCACUUGUAUCUAGCCAUCACAUCGGCUUUGGAGCGUUCUGAACUGGGCUCAUAUCAUGGCCCUCACACCUUCUCCUCAGGUGUCUCCGCUCGUCAUCAUGCGACGGUCUGAACUGGGGCUCCUCUCAUAGCCCUCACACCUUCUCUACGGUGUCUUCGCCCGUUGUCAUGGGGCGGUCGCAUCCUUCUUCAGCUGGGAUGCUUCAAAGUGGCUCCAAAAUUCUCUACCACCAUGUGCACUAUGGGAGAGAUUAUAACCACUGAUUACAUAGAAAGAGAAACUUGCGGUAUACUCCUCGCAAUCCUCCACCUCGAUUUCUAUGUUUGGAGCUUUUGUGUCUUUCUACUUGAUAGCUCCACCUACACCAACUCUCUUUGGUGUCUUCGCCUUUCAUCAUAGGCGGUCGCCUUUUAUCACAGGCGUUUGCACCCCCUCAAUUAGGUGCUUCUACAACAGCUCUCUUUCCAUCCUUGCAUGCAUUGGAAAGGUCUUCGCCUGUUGUCUUCAUCAAGAGCAUAAGAGACUUCCUGUUGUACAAACUUUAACAGUCUCUGCUCUGAGCUUCAUCUGGGAACACUUCUUCUCCUUGCACCUAUUGUCUCAUUACAGUACCUCGUUGGAUCCUACGGGUACUCCUGCACAAUCUCCGUGUGCCCUCGUGCAAUUUCUGUUCUCCAGAUUUCUCCCUAUUUCUUGCUUAUGUUUGACAGCAGCUCAUCCUGUCACAACACCUGUCCAAGUCAAAAAUAUGGUGCCAAUCUUUAUCCCCUUGCUGUAUUCCUCUUCCAUUAUCAGGGUCUUCAUCAGUUCUCCCCUCGAGAAAUCACAGUCACCGAAUCUAACUUCUUUGGAGAAAUCACCACUCCAUCAGAUCCUUGAACCUUUGGAACCCAACUAUUCCCUUGUGCCGUCAUCCUGCUAGCCUUCAACUGUUUCAUUACAAACUGCUAUAUAUACAAAAAUAGUACCGUAUGGAUAAUCCUUCCACUAAGCAAGUUCCCAGGAAAGAUUGGAGGGGUCACACUGGUCCCGCUUAAAACCCAAUCUCCUAGACAGAACUUCUUAGGACAUAUCUAUCCAUCGUACUGUCUUUUUGUAUAUACAACCAUUUGCUAGCUUUGUUGCGGCUUUCCUUUACAAGUGAUCUGGGGUAUCCCGAUUUUAUACCUGAUUUCUCAACAUCUGGCGAGACUACCAGUUCUUAGAUUCGUCAAGAUUGGUCUUUAUCAAUUUUCACUCUACACCUCUAAUUGUCCACUUGAUCGGGUGUCUAGAGUGUCCCAAUUUUGCCUUCCCUCAAGGCAGUUAAAUUUCUCCCAACUUAGCAGCUCAGCACAUGUAAUUGGGUAAACAUGUGCACCUUCUUCUUCUUCUCUUCAACGACCACCAUGAUAACCUUCAGAUGCCUCCUGAUCGGGCAAUCUCUUUUGUUAAUUCAUCACUACCACUUUCGGUCUCAAAUCUCAACGAUCGGACCAUACCAUUGCAUCCGAAACGAUCAAAUUAGCUGGAAACAAGUCUGAAAUCGUCCAAAUCGCACUUCAGACGGCUAAGAUUUGAUCAAAACAAUUCUGGCCUGAUCAAUGGCUCAGAUUCAAUCUCAGAUCCGGUUGCACGUAGGAUCAGCUACACUGGAUCCUGUCCCUCGGCUCGCGGCUCGGCUCCAAUUAGGCUCGGCUCGGCUUGGCUCGGCUCGUGGCUAAUGACGUGGUUGGUGGGUCCCACUUUGCUGACGUGUCAGUGACUGUACGCUGACAUGGCAUGCCAACUGUGCAUGCUGACAUCACACUUACAUCAGGCUGAUGUCAUCCCUGGCAUGCCUACUAUGCAUGUUGACAUCACAAUUAUGUCAUACUGACGUCAUUCAUAUCCGGGUCAGCCAUGUGGGUCGGGUCAACUGGUAUUUGGGUCGGGUCAGCCCAUCCGGGCGAAGAAGACGCGUGGGGUGCGUCUGCGCGCGUGGGCAGACGCCUUGCCGGAGAGUGAUGGAGAGUACGGCCAUGUCCGACGUCCGAUUUUGACGCCGUUUUCACCAGUGGCUUCGUCUCGGCCUCCUCUACACGGUGGUAUAGUCAAAACACCAUUUUGAGAACUUUCAUUUUUGAGCAAAAAUCAAACACCCCUUUAAACCAUGUGCUCUGAUACCAGUUGUUGGGGAUUCCGGCUCCCCCAUGCGCGGACCGGGGGUGUACUGAUAGUUGCUCAACGGAGGGUAAAGCACACUGAUACAAUAUUUUACGUGGUUCGGCAAAACCGCCUACAUCCACGGGAGAGUCCAUAUUAUUAGAGAUAUAUAGAGAAAGGAUUACAACAUACAUGGAGGAGGAGGAUCACUUCACUCAAACUCAAUUCCCAGCUCUUUUGCUACACUUACAGCUGCUGCAAUGGCAGCAGCCAUUGCAGCUCUCUCUUUCUCUCCACUCUCUUGCACACACUCACGUUCUCUCUCUCUCAUUUUUCUCUCAAAUAUAAGCCUCCUUUAUAGGCAUUUCAUGGUCAACAUGGAGGGGCCAAUAGCCUUAAAGCAUGGCAUGAAUUGUGGCACAAUUCAUGCUUCCACUUGCUUAGUGGUGGGGUAUUGCCACAAAUGACAAUAUCCUAACAAACUUCAAUUCCAGACUCUAUUCAUAGGACAUUUGAUUGAGGUCUCCACAAACAUUGAAACACCGCAAUUUUUCAUGAUAAAAUCCAAAGGAUUGGUACUUUGGUGUUUGAGGGGCUGGUAAAUGAAAGAACAGAUCAAGAGAUGACAUCCCUCUAUACCGCUGUUAUUCCUUUCAAGGUGCGUAUCAGGUGUUUGAAAAACUUCCUCAACUUAAAAAUAAAAAGGUCCUGUUUACAAUGUUUUUUAGUCCUUUACAAAUCUUCCAAUGUGUUGCGUUUACUGAAUAUGAUAGUGGGAACUUAUUUAUCAAGAAUUAACUACUCAGAAGAAAAUGUAAAGACGCAAUAAUGAUUUUUUUAUUUUAGAUUCCAUAGUCUACAAACUUGGAAGCAUACGGACCAGUCAGAAGACAACAUGUUUAUUGUAUAUGAUAAACAAUAAUAAACAUCUCAUUCUUAAAAUGAUGGUAAAUCAGAAACAACCAUCCAAUACUUGAAGAUCUGUUGAAGAUAUUUGGCCUUUGGAAAUUUUGAAGAGAACUGGAGCAGUUGCAUAUGGAUUAGCUCUUCCAUCCAAUCUUUUCAUCUAACCAUCCAGUUUUCUAUGUAUCCAUGCUUUAAAAGUAUCUUCGUGCUCCAUCACAUGUAUUGGAGCCAUAAACAGUAGCAUUUCAAGGAGAUAUGUCAUGUGAAAUCCGUUCUAAUGAGAUUGCUUCAGUGAAAGUAAUGUGAGAAGGUCAUCCAAGUGAUGAAGCAACACGAGAACCUGAGAAGAUGAUACGUAAUAAAUAUCGUUAUUUCUUCAUUCAAUCAAGCUAACAAGUUUUCUACUUAAAUUCGAGGAUGAAUUUAUUUUAACAGGGGAGGUGGAAAUGUAAACCCACCCCAUAAUAUAUAACUCAUUAUUGUUUUAUAUGUUGGCCCGUUAAUUCAAGUCAUUUUCUUCUAUCUCUCUUAUAGGAAUGUUCCUCCUUCUCCCUUUUACUGCAAAUAUUCCCCCACGAUCCCAAACCAUCAAUUGACCCUAUAACUCUCUUGUUUUGAGUAGGUUUACUUCAACUUUAUCAAGUGUUUAUAAUAUUGUUUUAUGUUUAUUUAUUUAUAUAAAAUUGUUGAAUUCUAGGCGUUAUAUGAUAUUAGUUGAUGUUAUAUGGAAUUAUUUAAAUUAAUUUGUGUGUGGGUAGUAAUAAGUGUAUAUGAAUAUGAAUUGGAGUAAGGUCAUAGAUGGGUUGGUGUGAAGCUUUGAUUAAUUGAUAUAUUUUGAUGUAAUGAGUAAAUACCUUAAGAAAUUUGAAUAUUUGAAAGAUAAUAGGUAAAUAUUGAAGAAUUGUAUAGAAAGAAUCAUAUUGAAAUUAUGAAAAAUAUGUUUUGGGGUUGAUGAUGGAAGAAUUACAGUUUGGUCCUUGCUUUUGAGAAAUUAAGAUUUUGUCCCUAAAUUCUAAAACAAUUAUAGUUUAGUCACUGGUUGUAAAUAACAAUUUUUAAGAUAUUUUCCUGAUAAAUAUCUGAGAAAUAAUGAUCAUCUAUUAUCAAUUUUUAUUGUUAUCAUUUAAAUUUAAAAUUAAUUGUAUUAUCUACGAGCACAAGUGGUACAGUUAUCAAUCGAAUUUUAGCAAAAUCAAGGAUCCAAGAAUUGGCCUCUGUAACAUAUUAGGAAACUGGCAUGCAAACCCGACAAGAUAAAAGGCAAGGGACAAGAUAAAAUGAGAAAUAAGACACAAGAAUUUACGUGGUUCACCCAAUUUGGCUACGUCCACGGGCAAGUAUAGAAGGAUUUUACUAAGUAAUGUGGGAAUUACAACCUCUCUCUACUAAUAGGAGAACAACUGAAAUCUCUCUAUUAAUAGGAGAAAACACCUCACUUACUCUCUCACAAAUACCUCACAAUUUUGUGGGAUUACUUUCCCUCUCUCACUCUUCUCUUCCUCUCUUAUGAUGUGCAAAAUAAGCUUGGAUGCACUGCCUAUUUAUAGGCAAGCAUCCAAGCAAAGGACAAAAAGGCACCAAUUGGUGCUGCAAGUGGCACCGAAUUGGUGCCCAACAUUGUUGAAUUUGCAGCACAAAUUUGGUGCCUAACAUUGUUGACUUUGCCAACAAUGCAGCUGGCUUCACAUUCUCCCACUUGAAGACUUUGAUGAGUGAAUCAAGUCUUCACACUUAAUCAUCUGUGAUUCUUCUAUCCUUUCUAUACUUGUCAUCUUCAUGCUGCUUACAUUUCUGUUAGGCCAUAAGAGGAUCUGCACCAUAUGUACUUGUCAGUGUUGACUGGUUUGGUUAAAGCAUCUGCUGGGUUUUCCUUCGUGUGAACCUUUUGAAAAUCUACACUUCCAUCUUCCACUACUUCGCGAACAAAGUGAUACUAAACAUCUAUGUGUUUUGUUCUUGAAUGAAACGCGGGAUUCCUUGCAAUAUGCAAAGCACUCUGACUAUCACAAUACAAAAGAAUGUUCUCUUGUUUGUGCCCGAGCUCCUCCAUAAGUUUCUUCAUCCAUAUUGCUUCUUUACAAGCUUGUGUAGCUGCCAUGUACUCAGCUUCUGUUGUGGAUAAAGCUACAACAGUCUGAAGUUUAGAGACCCAGCUCACAGCUCCUCCUGCAAUUAUGAACACAUAGCCUGUAGUGGAUUUUCUUUUCUCAAGGUCGCCAGCAAAAUCUGAAUCAACAUAACCUCUGACGGUAAAUUCUGAUCCUCCAUAUCAUAAUGCAACAUCUGAGGUGCCCUUGAUGUAUCUCAAGAUCCUCUUAAUAGUAUUCCAAUGCUCUCUACCAGGAUUUGCCAUGUAUCGACUAGCUACUCCCACUGCUUGUGCAAUGUCUGGUCUUGUACAUAUCAUGGCAAACAUUAAGCUUCCCACUGCUGAUGCAUACGGUACUCGAGACAUCUCCAUCCUCUCUGCUUCAUUGCUAGGAGACAUACUUGAGGAUAAUUUGAAGUUAAUAGGAAGUGGGGUGGAAAUUGGCUUACAAUCUUGCAUGUUGAAGUGUCGUAAGAUCUUAUUCAAAUAAUUCUUCUGAGAAAGCCAAAUCUUCCUCUUACUUCUGUCUCGGUGAAUUUGCAUCCCUAGAAUCUUGUUUGCUGGUCCCAAGUCCUUCAUAUCAAACUCCCUAGCCAACUGUGCCUUCAAUUCUUGGACUCGAUCUUUGUUGGAGCCUAUUACCAACAUGUCAUCCACGUACAACAACAAAAUGAUGAAAACAUCAUUUUCUUCAAACCUCUUGUAAUACGUACAAUGGUCUGAACUGAGUCUGUUGUACCCAAGGCUAAUUAUGAAGGAAUCAAAUCUCUUGUACCAACAUCUCGGCGCCUGUUUGAGACCAUAUAGAGAUUUGUUCAACCUGCAAACCAAGUUCUCCUUGCCUACUUCAGCAAAACCCUCUGGUUGGAGCAUAUAAAUUUCUUCUUCAAGUUCUCCAUGAAGAAAUGCAGUUUUCACAUCUAACUGCUCUAAGUGAAGAUCAAAUAUAGCACACAUCGCCAAGACUACUCUGAUUGUAGUAAGUCAUACCACUGGAGAAAAUAUCUCAUUAAAAUCUAUUCCUUCUUUCUGAGCAUAUCCUUUCACCACCAAUCUUGCACGAUACCGCUCCACUUGAUUAUUGCCAUCAUGCUUUAUCUUGUAAACCCAUUUGUUGCCAAUGGCCUUCCUUCCUUGUGGUAGCGGAACAAGAUCCCAAGUGUUGUUCUUGUGUAGAGCUUCAAUCUCCUCUUGCAUCGCUGUCAUCCACAUAGAUACAUCUGUGCUUUUGAUAGCCUCAUGGAAAGUUGAUGGCUCUCCAUCCUCUGUUAGAAGACAGUAUGCAAUGUUGCUCUCAGUAACAUAUUCUGAGUGCCAAGCCGAUGGUCUUCUUUCACGAGUUGACCGUCGAACUUCAGGAGUUUCAGAUUCUAUUUGUUCUUGUUCUUCAUGCUCUGGUACAGCUUCAGAAGAAGUAUGAUUCUGAGUAUUUUCCAUCUGGACUGCUGUAGUCUCCUUUGGAAUGCUAUUAUGUUCUUCCAUUUGUAUUUUACCUUCUGCAAAUAUAACAUCUCUGCUGAUGACUAGCUUGUGGGAUUGGGCAGUGGGAUCCCACAAGCGAUACCCCUUCACUCCAUCAGCAUAUCCCAAGAAUACACAUUUUCUGGAUUUUGAAUCCAGCUUGUUGACUUCUUGAGUAUUGUACAUCACGUACACAGGACUUCCAAAUAUAUGUAAUUGAGAAUAAUCAGCUGACUUUCCAGUCCACAUCUCCAUCGGUGUCUUCAGCUCAAUUGCAGUUGAUGGAGAUCGAUUUAUCACAUAACAGGCGGUAUUGACUGCUUCUGCCUAGAAUGACUUUCCUAGACCUGCAGCCUUCAACAUUGCUCUCGUUCUUUCUAAUAGAGUUCUGUUCAUCCGCUCUGCCACUCCAUUUUGCUGUGGAGUGUAUGCCGUUGUGAACUGCCUUUUGAUACCUUCAUGUUGACAGAAGUUAUCAAAUUCAUCACUGGUAUAUUCUCCUCCAUUGUCAGUCCUCAAACACUUGAUCUUCUUUUCAGAUUCAAGUUCCACCCGCGCUUUGAAAGUUUUAAAGAUUGCGAACACAUCUGCCUUCCUUCUAAUUGGAUGCACCCAACAUCUCCUGGAGAAGUCAUCUAUGAAUGAUACAAAGUAUCUUGCUCCUCCCAAGGAUACAACCGGUGCUUGCCAAACAUCAGAGUGAAUCAAGUCUAAGAUGCAUUUGCUCUUAGUUGUUGAUGUGCCAAACUUCAACCUGUGUUGUUUACUUGUAACACAGUGCUCCCAAAAAGGUAAAGUAACCUUUGUAAGCCCAGGGAGUAACUUCUGAUCAAAGAGAACUUUCAAACCUUUCUCUGACAUGUGGCCUAGUUUUUGAUGCCACAUCAUCGUCUUCUUUUCUGCAGGACUGGCUGAUGCGAUUGACGCUUCUGCCCUAUGAUGUGUUUCUCCCAUUAAUACAAACAUGUUUGCAACUAUUUUUCUCGCCUUUAAAACUACCAACGCUCCUUUGACAAUUUUCAUUAUUCCAUUGUCUGUUCGGAUCUUAUAGCCAAGACUAUCAAAUUGUCCCACAGACAAAAGAUUUUUCUUUAAGUCUUUCACAUGACGCACUCCUGUAAUAGUACGAAUUAAGCCAUCAUACAUCUUCAAUUUGAUGGUGCCAAUGCCAGCAAUCUCUAAAGCAUGAUUAUCACCCAUGAACACUUUGCCUCCAGAGAUGGGUUCAUAUGUAUGGAACCAAUCUCGAUUAGGAGUCAUAUGCCAUGUUGCUCCUGAAUCCAUUAGCCAGACCUCAGUAAGCUCUUCUCUAUCUGUAGAGAUUGUCGCUGCUUCACUAUAUAAAACCUCCCCAUCUUCUGAGGUGCUCGCAACACAUCCUUGAGGUUUUGAUGACUCUGCAGUAUUCUCUAUACCCCUUUUAAACCAACAAUCCUUUUUGAAGUGCCCUUUUCUGCCACAGUUGUAGCAUUUCACAAUCUUCUUACUUCUUGAUUUGGACCUCCCUUGCCUUUGACUCCCACUGGAGCCACGCUCCGUUGAUCUCCCUCUUGACAUCAACAAUGCCUCUGCUUGGUUUGAACUAUUUCUGUCUCCUUUAUUUUUGCGCCUAUUUUCUUCUUCCAAGAUAGCGGCUGCAACAUCAUCAAAGACUAAAUAGUCUGUGAGGAUAUUAUUGGUCAAGUUGAUAAUGAGCUGAUCAUACGAAUCUGGGAGACUUCGAAGUAGAAGUUCUGCACGUUCACUUUCCUCUAUUUGUUGACCCAACGUAGUGAGUUGUGAAAAUAGAGUUCUUAUUGUGUUGAUGUGGUCAGUCACUGCCGUGGUUUCUGCCAUUCGAAGGGUAUAAAGUCUCCGCUUUAAGAAAAUCUUAUUGUGCAAAGACUUGGACUCAUAUAGCUUUGUUAGAGUCUCUCAUAUCUCCUUAGCUGUUUUCUUCUCCGCUACACUUGAUAAUACUUCAUCGGCUAAUGCUAAAUGUAUGUUAGCAAUAGCAUUGCCAUCCAUCUCAUUCCAUUUUGCAUUAUCAGUGAUCUCCGCGGGCCGAUCCCCAAUUGCUGCCAAGCAAUUGUCUUUCCUUAAGAUUGCUUUGAUUCUCAUUUUCCAGAGUGAGAAAUUGCUCCCAUUGAACCUCUCAAUCUCAUACUUUGCUGCCAUUUUAUUCACCGUGAUCUAUUCAGCUAUCACUGUUUCACAGAUCUGUAACGUAUAUAGAAAUAGUAUCGUGUGAAUAAUACUUCACUAAGUAAGUUCCCAGGAAAGAUUGGAGGGGUCACAAAUGGUCCCGCUUAAAACCCAAUCUCCUUAGACAGAACUUCCUAGACUGUAUUUAAUCACCGCACUGACUUUCUAUAUACGCCAACAGUAACGUAUGUGAAUAGUGCCGUAGACGUGAAUAGUAACCGUAUACACGAAUAACUUUUGUGUAUUAACAACACCAACCAAAAGGCUCUGAUACCACUAUUAGGAAACUGGCAUGCAAACCCGACAAGAUAAAAGGCAAGGGACAAGAUAAAAUGAGAAAUGAGACACACAAGAAUUUACGUGGUUCAACCAAUUUGGCUACGUCCACGGGCAAGUAUAGAAGGAUUUUACUAAGUAAUGUGGGAAUUACAACCUCUCUCUACUAAUAGGAGAAAACACCUCACUUACUCUCUCACAAAUACCUCACAAUUUUGUGGGAUUACUUUCCCUCUCUCACUCUUCUCUUCCUCUCUUAUGAUGUGCAAAAUAAGCUUGGAUGCACUGCCUAUUUAUAGGCAAGCAUCCAAGCAAAGGACAAAGGGGCACCAAUUGGUGCUGCAAGUGGCACCGAAUUGGUGCCCAACAUUGUUGAAUUUGCAGCACCAAUUUGGUGCCUAACAUUGUUGACUUUGCCAACAAUGCAGCUGGCUUCACAUAACAUAGUUUGUAUUCUGAGCCAAUCUGGGGUGGGACUUGAAACAAAUGUUGUAUAUUGUUUGCACUGUCACUUUGCUUACCCUCUUAGGUUUUUAUUGAGAUUAGGGAUUCUAUUGUAGCUCUUUUUUCUCCUUUUAUUAUAAUAAAAUAAUAUCUAUGGAUUAAUUUUGGUAUAAUUUAAGAAAGUAAGUCCUUUAAUCAAAUUUUAGAUUGACCAUCCUCUAUGUGUUAAAAGUAAAUGUUAAUUUAUAAAAUAAUAACUAUGUUUAAGUCUUGAUUAACUCAGAAGAUGUCUUCUAAGACGCAUCUCUGUCUUCUCUUCUCUUCUCUUCUUCUCUAUAAAAUUCCUUUUUAGCUCUCUGAUGUACUUAAUGUCCCGGAGGUGUGGCUUCUUCAUAUGAAGAAAAUGUUAAGAUUCAAUUAUGAUUUUAGAUUUUAGAUUCCAUUGUCUACAAAUUUGAACCAUGAUGAUGAAGCAUACGGACCAGUCAGUAGACAACAUGUUUAUUAUAUAUGAUAGAGGUCCUCAAUGUAUUUCACGUUUCUAUGAGAAAUUUCACGAGACUAUGAGUACUCGAAUUGAUCUUAGUACAACAUUUCAUUCUCAAAAUAAUGGUUAAUAAAAAAGAACCAUUCAAAUACUUGAAGAUAUGUUGAUAGCAUGCAUACUUAAGUGGAGUUUGCUGGAACAAAUAUGUACCAUUGGUGGAGUUCGUUAAGAGGGGGGAACUAAUUCCUCGAUAUAUUAGGCCUUUGGAAAUUUUGAAGAGAAUUGGUGCACUUGCUUAUGGAUUAGCUCUUCCACCCAGCUUUUUCAUCUAAACAUCCAGUAUUCCAUGUAUCCAUGCUUUAGAAGUAUAUUUGUGCUCCAUCACAUGUAUUGGAGCCAUAAACCGUAGCAUUUGAAGAAGAUAUGUCAUGUAAAAUUCGACUGGAGAGAAUUGAAGAUAGACAAAUUAGAAAACUUCGUUCUAAAGAUUGCUUUAGUGAAAGUAAUGUGAGAAGGUCAUACCUGAGAAGAUGAUACGUAAUAAAUAUCGUGAUUUCUUCAUUCAAUCAAGCUAGCAAGUUUUCUAAUUAAAUUUCGAGGGUGAAUUUAUUUUAACAGGGGAGGAAAUGUCAACCCCACCCAUAAUAUAUAACCCAUUAUUGUUUUAUUGGUCCAUUUAGGUAGCCCAUUUGUUAUAUACAGAAGGAGAGAGGUAAGGACAUUGUUAGUCAUUUUCUUCUUUCUCUCUUACGGGGAAUGUUCUUCCUUCUCCCUUUUACUGCAAAUAUUCCCCCACAAUCCUAAACCACCAAUUGACCAUAUAACUCCCUUGUUUUGAGUAGGUUUACUUCAACUUUAUCUAAGUGUUUAUAAUAUUGUUUUAGGUUUAUUUCUUUAUAUAAGCUUGUUGAAUUCUAGGCCUUAUAUGAUAUUAGUUGAUGUGAUUUGGAUUUAUUCUUAAGUUAAUUUGUGUGUGGGUAGUAACAAGUGUAUAUGAAUAUGAAUUGAAGUAAGUACCUUAACAAAUGUGAUGGGUUGGUGUGAAGCUUUGAUUAAUUGCUAUAUUUUGAUGUAAUGAGCAAAUACCUUAAGAAAUUUGAAUAUUUGAAAGAUAAUAGGUAAAUAUUGAAGAAUUGUAUAGAAAGAAUCGUAUUGAAAUUAUGGAAAAUAUGAUUUUGUCCCUAAAUUCUAAAAAACAAUUAUAGUUUGGUCACUGGUUGUAAAAACAAUUAUAUUUUCAAACUUUCAAUAUAGAGAGAGAAAUAAAAAUAAAAAGGAAAAGGAAAAGGAAACAACCCCCAGCUUUCUUGUGCCCUUUCCCUUCUUUACAUGGCUUCCUCGAUCGAUGUAAAAAAGCAAACGCCCCAUUUGAUUUUCAAGCAGUAUGAGUGAGAAAGAUAGAGAGGACAAGAGAGGACAAGGGGGUCCUCUCUCUCUUUCCUUGCUUUUUUUAACGCGUGGACCCAGCAGUUGUUGCCACCAAAUUCCUUCCUCAAUAUUUACCAGUGCUACACGCUUGAGAAAUUUCCUUGUUAUUUUUUUUAUUAAUGAAAUAUUACUUUUACCGUAUAGCCAUUGAAUUCUAGAUCAAUUUAUCGGGUAUUGGGCCGGUUUGGAUUUAAUAAUUAUGAUUCACAGACAUACAACUAGUACUUGCAACUAUUAAUAUUUAUUAUUUUCAUUAAGUUUUUCAAACUUUCAAUAUAGAGAGAAAAAUAAAAAUAAAAAGGAAAAGGAAACAACCCCCAUCUUUCUUGUGCCUCUUCCUUUUUUUUUAAGUUUAAUGUUGGUGUUUGGGUCAACUUGCACGCAUCUCGACUAAUUUCAUGGGCUCUGAAGUUAACAACUAUGUAAGUCUCCAAUGACCAUCAUAUAAACAACCACGGGGCUCGAAUUUAAAACUAUAAAAAAAACAAAUCUCUUAAUCACAUGAUCUUAUUAAUGUACCACCAUUUAGGUAGUUGCCCUUUCCCUUCUUUACAUGGCUUACCCGAUGAAAAAAGCAAACACCCCAUUUUGAUUUUCAUUCCGUACGAGUGAGAAAGAAAGACAGGACAAGGUUUGUUGAGGCUUUUUUUUUGGAACCUCGCUCUGGGAUUAAUUAGCGAGAAUAAGAAAAUUCUAUGCAAAUUAUACAAAAUUUAUUAUUAAUCAUCAAUAUUUAUUCUUAUCAUCAAUAUUGAAUAAUGGUUUAUUUUCUAGUAUAAACUAUGAUGGGUUCGUUUAUAAAAAUAAAUAAAUUGAGGUUUUUCAAUUUCCUUUAAACAUAUCAUAGUUUUAAUACCAUUUAUUUUUACAUUUUAAAAAUAAUUUUUAAAAAAAUUAAAAAUAAAUUUUAUUUUUUAUUUCAAAAUAAUAUUUUUUUAAAUAUUUUUAAAUUAUCUUGAUAUAUUGAUAUUAAAAUUAAUUUUUAAAAGAUAAAUUUUUUCAAACAUAAAGUUUAGCCUGCAGAUCUUCCGCUGAUCCCAUCUCAUUGUUGUAUGCAUCCAAGCUAAGCCAAUUCAAGAAAGAAGAUUUGAAGAAUACCACCAGCAGCAGGAGUAAUACAUUAACAUAACAGCAUUAUGGCAGAAGGAGGGACGACCUCACUGCAAGGGCGAAGGCAUGUUAAAGACUUGGGCGUGCUAUAAUUUAGAUUAAAACUUUAUUAAUAUUUUUUGAUUAGUUUUAUUUAAAAAAAUUGUAAUUCUUGAUUGAAUUAUUAAAAAAAUUUAAAAUUUAUGUGGAGCUUUCUAGAAUAACGUUUUAACUUGGAUUAAAAUUUCAGAAUAUUUUGAGAAAUUCAAAAAUUUGAUGAAAAAUCAUAAUUUAACUAAUUUUAUGUUAAUUGAUGUAAUUUUCAAUCCAACUAUCAAAUUGAGCUGAAAUUUUACGAGAAAUCUUAAAAUAUAUUAAAUAAAAUAUAAUUAAAAUUUUAUGAUGAGUGGAGCUUGAUAAUACUAACAAAAAAAAUCAUCAAAUAAAAACAAAUCAAGAAUAAAAUGAUUAUUUCCAUUAAAAAGUAAAAUAAAUCAACUAUUUAUAUAAUAGCUAAAUCUAUUAAGAUAAAUCGAAAAUAACUAGUAAAAUCAAUGACUUGUAUUGACGAGUGUGUCUAUAUAUACAUAUAGGAACUGCUGAUUCGAUUUGAAUAUGUUAUUUGAUUAGUCUAAUUCAUGAUUUGCAUUGACUCAAAAUUACCACUAGAAAUUCCUAGUUUCGUGGUGCUUUCUCAGCCUGCAAAUGAAUAUAAAGCAUAUCCUUUUAUCCUAUAUAAAGAAUACAAUUAACCUUUUUAUCUUUUAUAAUUAUAAUUAUUGCAUUGCUAAUAAUUUGCACGAAAGAAUAUUGUUUCUCUGAAAAGGGCUUGAGAAAACCCUAAGCAUAGUAUAUAAUCUCUUAUAGGAAUCUCUUUAUUAAAUUAUCAAAAUAUCAAAGUCUGUUUCCAAAGACUAUGACUACAGUUUAUAUAUAGAAACAACCAAAUAUAAAAAUUAUUAAUUUUUAAAUAGAAAAACCAGAGAGCUUGAUAAUAUUUAAUAAAAAAAAUAAAAUAGAAAAAUUAUUCCUUUUUAAGUAGAAAAAAAUUAUAAAGAUUUAAUAAUACUAAAUAAGAAAAAUUAAAAUUUCUACACUAAAUUAAAAAAACAAAAAAAAAACUGAGAAAAUAUUUAUUAUCCCAAUAGUUCUUAUAUUAAAAUCUCAUUUAUCAUAUGUUAUAUCUAUCAAAAUAAUAAUAAUAAUAACUUGUGACUUGAACUAAAGCUACAUGCGAAAACUAGAAAAACCCGGUAGAGACCCGUUCUGUUUUUUCAAAUAUGUUUUUUCUUCUAGCUAGAGACCUUUUUUUUUAAUAUAUUUUUCUAUUGGUUACUAAACCAUUUCAAAGUUCACUAUAUAAAUACUAGAAGAAUAUUUUAUUUUUUCAAUAUGGAAUAAAAAAAAUCAUUUUUGUUUACAUACCUCAAUUUAAAAGAAUUAGAUAAUAUUUUUUUAAUAUGAGAUAAAAAAACCUUUUGAAAUAAUCUUUUAAACUUUAUUAUAUGCAACAUGUAUAAUCUAUAUUCAUAUAAAUUAUUUCUUUAAUUUUUUUCAUUCUCAUAUUCAAACUUCCAAUAUUGAGAGAGAAAUUAAAAGGAGCAAAAGGAAACAACCAGUGAGGACAAUAUCCUCCAGCUCAUCAUCAGAUCCCACGAAAGGAACGCAGAAAGACAUUCCCUUUCUUGUCAUCAAGUUUUGAAUCAAAAAGUACUUUCGUGCAUUAUUGUCAUAAAGUUUUUCAAACUUCCAAUAUAGAGAGAGAAAUUAAAAGUAAAAAUAAAAAGAGCAAAAGGAAACAACCCCCACCCCAUCUUUCUUGUUCCCUUUUCCUUCAAUGAAAAAGCAAGCACUAAUGCACCUUCUCCACAAACUACCCCCCAAUUUCGCCACUAUAUAAAUAUAUUAUGGAAAACAAGAUAAAAAGAAAUCUUUCGGUACAUCUAUAUAUAUAUAUAUAUAUAUAUAUUAUGGCUAUGAAAAUAGGUUUGUGGAAAUUUACAUGGUUUGAUUUUGACAGUGUCAGAUUAGACAAUUGCAUGGAAAUGGUCUUCUUAGUUUGCCGUGUGGAAAAUCAUGUCAUUUACGGGACUGCUGGAGAGAGUUUCUAUUGAUAAUUUCACUCGAAAAGUUUUAGUAAUUUACAAAGGAAAUUUCUCCUUUAUAUGAAUUGAAAAACUAUUAUUGACUGACUUCUUGCAAAGUAUUUGCAAGAAAGCUAAAGAAUUAAAGUUUUUCAAUUUUGAAAAUUAUAAUUUAAAAUUUUUAGAAAAAAAUCAAUUAUUUUUAAAAUUGUUUUCAAAAAUACACUACCAGAAAUUCAUCUAAUACCAACGGACUUACCGACAGAAUUAUUCUGUCGGUAAAUUGCGGUGAUAAUUACUGACGGAUACUAAUCCGUCUGUAAUUCAGUUGGUAUAUACCGACGGAAUUAUUCCGUCGGUAUAUACCGACUGAAUUACAGAAGAAAGAUAUAGAAUUAAAAAAAAGCGGGGAUGUUGACGUGACAGUUUUUGCGGGCGAUUUUACCGACGGAAUCAACGAGGGAUUCAAACCCUGAUUUUGUUUAUGAGCAAUUUUGACUAUCUUAGAGGUAGAACUAGGUUCUCUUUAAUCAUAGAACUUGUAGCCUCAUGUCUUAGCUUUCUAACAAGACUAAUCUUGCUUAAAUCGGAGUUUUAUAACUCCAGAUAUAGUUAAAAAUAUGAGGAGAGGUCAGACAGUAACAGUUCAAUGUUUAGACAGUAACAGUUCAAAAAUGAGACAGUAAUAGUUGGACAGUAACAGUUCAAGAACGAGACAGUAACAGUUAAAAAAUGAGACAGUAACAGUUCAAAAAUGAGACAAUAAUAGUUGGACAGUAACAGUUCAAAAAAGGAGACAGUAACAGUUAAAAAACGAGACAGUAACAGUUCAAUGUCUAGACAGUGACAGUUCGGGAUUUAAACAGAAACGGUUCAAAUAUAUAUAUAUAUAUAUAUAUAUGUGUGUGUGUGUGUGUGUGUGUGUGUGUGUGUGUGUGUGUGUGUGAAAUGAGAAAAAUGUAAAAUAUUAAGAAAUGACUGAAAGAAAGACUUAUUGGUUGUUGAUAUGGUUAUAAUAAAACAUAUCCUUGAGUGAGGAAGUAGAGCUUCUAUUGCAGGUAGGUAAUCCGUACCUAUACUUUCUAGUUUAAUUCUAUGAUUUAAUAAGUUAUUGAUGUGAGAUGUGAAUUACCGAAUAUGGGAUAUUAGGAUAAAGGAGGAAAGUUUGCGUAAUGAUGCCGAUAUUUGGAAAGUAUUCUUAAUGUAUGUGUAUUCAAGGUGAACGGUUGUUCUGUGAAUUGCCAAGUGAUGAAAUUAUAAUUGAUAAAGAAAAUAUGAGAAGUGUGAUUUGGGGCGUGAACUAGCAUACAUUUAGUGUAUGUUAGGAUCCCGGGUAAGGGGAUCAAGAUGUAUUGGCUAGCAUACAUUUAGUGUAUGUUAGGAUCCCGGGUAAGGGGAUCACCAUGUAUUGGCUAGCAUACAUUUAGUGUAUGUUAGGAUCCCGGGUAAGGGGAUCACCUUGCAUCGACUCCUACAUGAUGAUGAUGAUGAUAACAGUGAAAUUGGUAUCGGUAAUGUGUUAAGCGGAAAUAAUCAUGGGUGGUUUUAUGAGAUCUUGAAUGGAGGUUGAUAAUAGAAGAGGAAAUGGUUUUUAGUAGUUGAAGGAGAAAAAGUCUCCAAUAAGAACCAAAAGGGAGAAGUGAAUAAAAUAUGAAUGUAUGUUGCCUUUUUAAAUUGCUGGAUAUUUGUAUUGCUAUAUUAUUGUGAUAUUCAUAUUUCAAUAAUAUGUAUUUUAUUUUCAGGACCAUCGCAUGCAUGACAGGAGUAGAUUUUGGCUUAGGUUCUUUUUUUGUAAUUUAGGUUCUAAGGAGUAUACCCUUGUAUUUGGUAAUAUUACAACUUUUAUUUAACUUAAUUUGUAUAAUUGAUGUUUAAACUUGAAUAGAUGAACUUAAUUCGGUAGUUUGUAUAACUAUGUUCCAUUAAGCAUGUUUAUAUCUUUAACCAUCCAUAAUGAUAAUUGUUGUACAAUGUAUAUCAUCAACAUUGUGGUUGAUAUGAAUGGUGAUGUUUGUGGGAUUGAGACCUAAGAUGAUUAGGCUGAAUUGAGUUGGAGAUGCGGUAUAUUAGAAGUGUAAACAGGACGUAUGUCGAUAACUUGGGACCUCCCGGUAUAGGGGAUACUCUGUUAAAAUUUCACUAGACUUUAAUGCAAAUACCAUGAAUAGAUAUAUAUAUAUAAAAUUUAGUCACUCUGUUUAUCAGCUAACAUGAGAUCGUUGCUUUAUCCCUGAUAUGGGAAUGUUACAGGUUCGAUAGAAGUCAUGGAUGAUUGUUCAUGGAUGUAUCGAGAUCCAUGUGUUAAUUUUGACAACAUGUAUUAAUUAAGAUGACAACAUGUAUUAAUUAACUAACAUAGUUAACUAAUACAUGUUUUCAUCAUAAUUUUAUAGAGGUUCGAUAAAAGUCAUGGAUGAUUGUUCAUGGAUGUAUCGAGAUGCACCCCAUGGAUUGCAGAGGAUUCUUUGAAGAAAAUUCAAAUUUUCAUGUUUUCGAUAAUAGUCUUGUUGAUGUUGACGCAGAGGAGUUGAAUGUUGUUUUGAGCUCUAACGGACAAGCAAAUAUCGAUGAAGAUGAUGAUUAUGAUGACAUCCAUAUUGAAGAUUGCGAUGGAGCUGAUGACUAUUCAAUUGAUGACGAAGAAGAAGAAAAUUCUGACUAACUAGCAGAAUCAAGGAAAGUGCAAAGCAUUUUUCUAAAAUGUAAUAUGUAUUAUCGAUGAUAUUUUGUAACAUGAAAUAUUUAUUUGAUAAGUGUUUAAGUGUUUUUGUGUGAUGGGCAGUUUGUAAUUUAAGUGUUUGUAGGAAGGUAAAUAGGCAAUACAAACAAAAGUUUUCAUGCACAGUGCACGAUCACCAACGUCCAUACCGAUGGAUUACAUUUCGUCGGUAUUGCACAGAGAGCUGUAAAAUAUUUAUUGGAAAUGCCACAAUCACCGACGACUUUGCAGAUGGAUUACCGUCCGUCGGCAUUCAACAGAGAGGUUCACUGGAAAUGCCACAAUCACUCACCGACGACUUUGUAGACAGAUUAAAGUCUGUCAGCAUUCCACAGAGAGGUUCACUGGAAAUGCCACAAUCACCGACGACUUUGCUGAUGGAGUAGAGUCUGUCGGCAUUCCACAGAGAGUGGUGGAAAUGCCACAAUCACCGAUGACUUUGCAAACGGAUUACAGUCCGUCGGCAUUGUGUCGGCAGCUCACAAUUAUCGAUAAAUUCACCAACGAACGGUGUGAAUUCCAAAGGACGGGUAAUAAAUGCAUAUCUGAUAGCGUGCAGCUGCCGACGGAAUUACCAACGAACUGCGAAAAAUAUGGAGGGUAAUUAAAAAAUUCUGGAGCAAAAUUCAAAAUUUACCGACGGAGUUAAAUGUUCGUCAGUGAAUCCGUCGGUAAAAUUACGAUAUAAAUGCCAGCGACCGCCCUUUGAGUUCAUUUUUUCAUCUCCUUUGUUUUUAGAGCUUAACUUUUUGUUUUUUUUCCCUCUCAUUUCCUUCAAAUCUCUUGUUUUUUCUUGUAAUCUCUAGUUAUAUCUUCAGCAAAUUAAAAGGUAUGUAUUUCCUCUACUUAAUUUGCUUUAAGAUUUUACUUUUUUAUUUGUUCUUUGUUUAGCAAUUGUUAUUUUUGUUAUGUUUUUUGUUUUGGUGUAUUUUCAUAAUGUAGAUAAAGUCUUACAAUAAACACAUUAUUAAGGUAAGCAUUUUUCAUUCUUAAAGUCUAUAGUUUUUUUUUUAACUUGUUCAAUAUAUUUUGUUGUUUGUUUUGCCAUAAUAAUUAGGGGUGAGCAAAUUCGGUUCGGUUCGGUUUUUAUCUAAAAAACUAACCAAAAUCAAAUUUUGAAAAACUUAAAAAUUCAAACCGGACCCAAACCGGAACCGGUUCAAACCGACCGGUUUCGGUUCGGUUCGGUUCGGUUUUUUUAUCAGGAAAACCGGAAAACCUGUAUUAUUGUUUUUUUGGGCUUUUUCGGGCUUUUUAAUGGGCUUUCUGAUGGGUUUUCUGAUGGGCUUGUAAUUAAUGUAAAUAUCAUCUAAUUUUGUUACAAAAUUCUAUAAUAUAUUUAAUAUUUUUUAUCACUAAAUAUUCAUUUAUAUUAAAUUAUUAGUGCUAAUAUUAUGUUUAAUAUGUUGCACAUCUUUCUAAUAUUUAUAUUUAGGAGUUUGGACUCCUCAUGCAUCAAAAUUUAAAUAACACACACACCAAAUUAAAAUUAAAAUUACAAAGCAUUGCCUUCAAAAUGGGCUUAAAAAAACAACAAAUAACAUUGCCAUAAAAAAUAAAAUACUUCAUGCAAAAAAUAUAAAUCUUCAUUGUGCACAUCAUCUCAAUCAAAAAGCACAACAAGAUGACAAGAACAUUGCACUUUGAUUCCGUAAUACCAUUGACAUCAAAACCUGAAAAUCAAGAUCUAAAAUUAUAACAUGAUAAAAUAAAUUAGAAUAUGUAAAAAUAAAUAGUAGUAUUUUACCAUCAAAGUAACUUUUGAACUAAUUAUCAUUUGUUACUAAAUGUAACUUUCCACCAAAUUCUACAAAAUAAAAAAUUAGACAUGUUAGAUGAUUGCAAACAAUUUAAUUAAUAAAUAACAAAAUAAAAGGUGCAAAUUUCUAAAAACAAUUACCUGACUCAAGGUUUUCGUAGGUUUCAAGAUCAUUUAUCAAGCUUCUAAUAUCAGUUGGAAUUGAUCCAUGAUGAAACCAAUUUUGACAACAAAUGAGUGCUUGAACAGUUGCUGGAGAUAGAGAACUUCGAAAUUGAUCAAGUACACGACCACCUGUGCUAAAUGCUGAUUCAGAAGCCACUGUAGAUAUAGGAAUAGCCAGAACAUGUUGUGCAACCUUUGAAAGUGUCUUAUAUUUCAAAGCAUUACUUUUUCACCAACCCAAAAUAUCUAACUUAUCAUCAUUACGAUCCUCACAACCUUCAAUCAAAUACCUCUCAACCUCAUUUUUAUUUUCCACACUAUCCACCUUCAGCAAAUGUCUUUUGAAUCGAGCCAAAGUGUUAACAUCUACCUCCACAUCAUCAAUAGCAUUAACAUCCUGUUUAUGCCUAUUAUUAUCCACCACUUCAUCAAUUUUCAAAUAAAACUCAUACAAGCUCACCAAAGUAUCUUUCACCUUAUUUGUUAGCAAUUGUGCUUUGUCAUAAUCAUACAAAUCACCAAAACAAAAUUCCACAUAUUUCAACUUCAAACAUGGAUCUAAGACAUUAGCCACAUAUAACAAAAAAUUCUGAUUUACUUCACAACCCCAAUACUUCUCAAACUUUAACAUCAUCUUCAUCGCCAUUCCACUUUAACAAGUUUGUAUGCAUGUAAAUCAAUUCAUUGAAGAAAGAAUUUGAUGUGACAUGCAAUGAGCCAGAAAAUAUCAAUGUAACCAUAUAAAAGAUCUUUAAGAACUUAACCAAAGUUCUUGCAUUUUCCCAAUCCUCCAAACUAGGUGGCCCUAUGUUUUUUUUAUUCCCCUUUGAAUCAACCUCCAAAAAGUAACUCAUAUACCUAAGUUCUCUUUCACCUAACCUCACAAAUACCUUUUCAAACUUUUCAGCAGCUUCUAGCAUAAGAUAAGUUGAAUUCCAUCGAGUUGCAACAUCUAAACACAAUGAUUUCUUACACUCUAUAUGCAACUUUUCAGCACACUUCUUAAAUGCAAGAUGCCUCAACGGUGAAGAUCUCACAAACCUAAUGGCAUUUCGAAUCUUAACAACUGAAUCAUUAAUCUCUUUCAAGCCAUCACACACAAUGAGGUUUACAAUGUGUGCACAACAUCUAACAUGCAGGUGCUCAUUUGACAAUAUAUUAGUUGGCCAAUCUUUCAUCACAUUCUUUAAAUAUGAAAUGGUCACAUUAUUAGAGCUUGCAUUGUCUAAUGUAAUAGUCAACAGUUUAUCAAUCCCCCACUCCAACAAACAAUUCUCAAUAACUUGGCCAAUUGUCUCACCCAUAUGAUUGGAAACUUGACAAAAAUUAAGAAUUCUUUUAUGCAAAUUCCAGUCAUUAUCAAUCCAAUGAGCUGUUAAACAAAUAUAGUUAAUAUUUUGGAUUGAUGUCCAUGUAUCUGUUGUCAAGCACAAUCGUUGACCCCUAAGAGCUGUCCUCAAUCUAUCCUUCUCUUCAACAUAAAGUUUCAAACAAUCUCUCAUAAUUGUAAAACGAGAAGGAAUGUCAAAUCUAGGUUGUAUAGUCCUAGCAAACAAUUUAAAUCCCCGACCCUCCACAAAAUUAAAAAGCAACUCAUCAAUUAUAACCAUCUUUGCUAGUGCUUGUCUACAUUCAUCAUAAUUAUAACCUAUUGCCUUAAGACUUCCCACAUUUUGUUCUCCCAAUUCACCCUUCUCUAUCUUAGGUUCUAAUACCAAAACCUUUUGUUUCUUAUCAAUCACAAAAGGGAACUUCUUGUACACUUUUAAAUGACUCCACAUAUUACUUGUGCCAUUAACAAUAGUAUGACAUGCAUAAUGUUUUCCACAAUAAUUACAUUCAGCUCUAGGGGUUUUAGGAUCAACAUCAAGUUUUGUAAAGUGAUCCCAAGUUUGUGACUUCUUUUUAUCAUCAGCAUUUCUUUUCCUAGAUGAAAGGACUUGAGGUUGUUUACCUUGUGUAUCUGUGGUGGAUCCUGCAUUGGUUGAUUCUACAUUAGGUUUUGAAGUUGGAGAAGUAGUUGAUGUUGGUGUAGUGCCUGUGGAUGAAGCAUUUUGAAUUUGAGUAGUUUCCAUCUGUUAUUAUAUAUGAAAACAUGUUAAAAACCAAUAAUUUAUAAUAGAUUAACAACAGUAUGACAUGCAUAAGUUCAACUGUAAUUUUAAAGAUUAUUUUCACAAGUUAAGUUCUUUUAUUUUGGUUGAUAUGUUGUAAAAACAAUUAUGUUGCUGAGUGCUGAGAUUGUAUUUUGUAAUUUCAAUAGACAAUAAUACAAUACAAUAUAUAUAUAUAUAAACAUUAUUCUCUUUUCAAUAAAUAAAAAAAAUUCAGUUUUCAGAAUUGAUAAAUUACAAUCCACCGAAUCCCCCCUCUUUUUUUUAACACAGAUAAUAAACAUUAUUCUCUGUUUUUUUAGCACACAGCAUUGACAGCACACCAUAAUAAUGGAUUAGCAAUAAUAUUUAAAACAAAUGCCUCUCGGGGAAACUGUAUUUUCCCAUUUUUCUCCCUAAUGUAAUAUCAGGCUCAUAAUACCAAUUCACCGCAUUGGUAUUGCAAGUUUUUAUCAUUUGUUUAGUAUCAUUUUCUUCUUCAGUCAUUUGGCUAUUGACAUAAUGAGAUAAUUUUUCUAAUCUUUUACCAGUACUCCACCUUAGAGUAUGAGUGGAAUUCAAUCUCUAAUGUCUAGCUAAAAGCCUAAAACGGCACAAAGAGGUUUCUUUAGUAAUGAUCAAGUUUUACCACUACCAGUGCCAAUUAUUCCCAUUUCUUUCAGUGAUGUGCUGUUAGCUUUAGCAUUUGGAACAAUCAUAACAUAUUGUCUUUCUCAUGACCAGUGCCAUUUCUACCAGUGCCAAUUAUCUGUGUUUUGUAUAUUAAAUUAACAUGCAAGAGUUUGUAUAUUAAAUUAACCCUCAUUCCGAUAUUAAUCUAGAUUCCAUUAUUUUUUCAUUGCUACUCAUGACCUUAAUAAAACACGAAUUCAUUAACAUAUUGUCUUUCUCAGCAAAGAAAAAACGCAUUGUCUCUGUCAUAAAUCUCUUCUUAAGAAGUUUAUUAAAAAAUAAACAGAAUCACAGAGCAAUAGAGCAUAUGUUCAAAAAAAAAACAGAGACAAAAAAAAAAUCAUACCUGGUGUGACACGAUUCAAGGUCGGGUGUGAGAGAGGGAGGUGACUGCCUCACUGGUUCGCUAAAUCUGGAGUUGGACUCUGGAGGUUCGGUGAGCCGGUGUGGUGUGUGUCCUACGAUUCAAGAUCAGGUGUGACCGUGUGAGAGAGGGACGUGGCUGACUGGGGUUUGAAGAUGAAGAUGGUGGCCGGUGGGAGAGGGAUGUGGCUGACUGGCGUUUGAAGAUGAAGAUGGUGGGAGAGGGAUGUGGCUGACCGGCGUUUGAAGAUGAAGAUGAAGAUGGUGGGAGAGGGAUGUGGCUGGUUGUGGUCCAGUAGAUGAAGAUGGAUUGAUUUCUUACAUAUGUGAAAUUGUGAGUUGUGAGUUGAGGGAGCGGCUUAGGAGAAAGGAGAAGGACGGCUGGAGCAGGAGUAUGGAUGCUAGGGUUAAGAAAAACAACGCGAUUUUUUUUGUAGCUAUUUAUAGUACCCCUUAAACCGAACCGGUUCGGUUCGAUUGGGGUUUUUCCGGUUUCAGGUUUCUAAAACCGAAACCGAACCGAACCAAACCAAAAAUUUUUACAAAAAAUUUAAUCGGUUUUUUUGGUUAUUUUUUUUUCGGUUUUCUCGGUUUAUUCGGUGUCUCGGUUUUUUUUCUCACCCCUAAUAAUAAUUGAACACUUUGUUGAAUUUUAAUUGUUAUUGUUGAAUUUACCUUGCAAUUAGUAAUUGAAUACACUGGAAUGAAUUUAAUUAUUUUAUCUCAAUUUUACUGUAUUUUUGCAUGAUAUGUGUUUAAUUAUUUUGUUGAAUUUUAAUUGUUAUUGUUGAAUUUACCUUGUAAUUAGUAAUUAAAUAUAUUGGAAUAAAUUUAAUUAUUUUAUUUCAAUUUUACUGUAUUUUUGCAUGAUAUGUGUUUAAUUAUUUUGUUGAAUUUUAAUUCUUAUUGUUGAAUUUACCUUGUAAUUAGUAAUUGAAUAUAUUGGAAUGAAUUUAAUUAUUUUAUCUCAAUUUUACUGUAUUUUUGCAUGAUAUGUGUUUAAUUAUUUAGUUGAAUUUUAAUUGUUAUUGUUGAAUUUACCAUGUAAUUACUAAUUGAAUAUAUAAGAAUAAAUUUAAUUAUUUUAUCUCAAUUUUACUCUAUUAUUACAUGAUAUGUGUUUAAUUAUUUCCAUUAAUUUUAAUUGUUAUUUGUAUAGAUGUUAGGUUAUAUGUAAGAUUUUUGAAUGGGGGUCAAUUGGUUGUGGCUAUUGUUAAUAUUUGAAGGUUUGAAAACUUUGGGUAGUCUCCAGUAUAGAAGAGACGCUGCUGAAUUUUUUUUAACAAUCGAAUUUAAUUAUAUAAUUAUUCUUAUAAAAUUGCGUAGAUGUGUAUAAUGAAAUCAACUGUUCGUCGCUCACAUAUGGUCGCAGCUAGUUCUUCUAGCAGCAAGAAUGACAUUUCCUUAGGUGUCAAUCAAGAAGAGGUACCUGCACCACCUACCGAUGCUGCCUCUUGCAGCACGGUUUCACAGCGCAGAGACGGCGUGCCUUCACAGUGGAAUCAAUUUACUUACAAGUACGAGGCACAAUGGAAGAACGAUGUUUCAAUGUAAGUUUGUUUUGAUUUUAGUUUUUUUUUUAAUUAUAACAUAAUUUAUGAACAACUAAUCAAUAUUUCAUUAAUUUAAUUUAUUUUCAGGUUCACAAACAUUGAGACCGUCCGAGUAAUAUCAUCGGCGUUUAAAUCGUCGAUGGAGAUUCCAUUAUUUCAAUGGAGUUAGGUAUCCAGACAUCCUGAAUGGAUACCUAAUAUCGAUGCAUGGUUUGAUAAAUUUGAGGUUGGUGUUAAUUUCUAAUUUCCAGCUUAUUUUUAAUAAAUUAUUAAUAUAAUUAUAAAUAAAUUAUUAUUUUUAUUUUAAAUAAAUUAUGUAUACGUGGCACAAAUUCGAGUAGGACAGCACACAUGAUAAUAUUGUGAGGAGGGUGUGGGAAAAUCAUGCGGCAACUAAGUAACAUCGAAAACAAUAUGAUAUUUUUUAAAAAAAAAAUAUGUUUUAAAAUCUAAUUUGUUACUAUGGAAGUAGGUUGUGUGAUUUUUGGUAUGAAGCACAAAAAAAGGUAAAAAAAAAAAAAACACGAGAGAUAGAGGUCUCCAAGGCUAGAACGACGUGGCGGUUUGGGGGGAUUUCAAACCGCUACACAUCCCGGAAAAUAUUUGGCCGGAAUAUAUUGAGCACGUGACGUCUGAGCGGUUCACACGACGCUCAAAGUCUGGUGCUGACAACCGGAACAGGCAAAUUCAUGGUUCACUGACAACGCACAUCGACGGCUCCGUAUCGUUUGCUACACAUGCAAAACGGAUAUAAGAUUAAUUUAAAUGAAAUAUAUCGUUAAAUAAUUUGUUGUUACUUAAUUAAUUUUUUUUCUUACAGGCUACGUCUCUUGGACGUGAGCCGAGCCCAAUGGAGCUGUUUGUAGAGACGCACAUGCGGAGUCAAGACCGCCAAAAGGGGGUGCAACAGUUCGUUGACAACCGCGCUCAACACUUUGUGGUAUGUUCGUUCAACCAUUUUAUUUCGUAAGUUAUUAUUUUUAUUGAAUUGAAUAUGAUGAUUUUUUUUUAUUUUCAGGAUACCUAUAAUAGUCGUUGAGGGAGAGAUAUAGGGACGAUCCUUCAAUCCAUCCGGAUUUCAAUCCGGAUUUGUGGAUGGCGGUAGGAUCGUCCGGUGGACUCGAUAAAAAUCAGGUGUAUGGGCUCUCCAACACCACGGCCGAGAACUUGCGAGCGGCCAGUAGUGCCUCAACCGUUGGGAGCUCCCAAUCUAAGGAGUCCGUGGCCUUGCAGCAACACACGAGUCAUCUCACCGAGAAAUACGAGCAACUCUCGACGAAUUAUGAACUUCGCCAAAUUAUCAUGAACAUGACAUCACAGAGUGACUUUAUGGUCUCGGGAAAAACCAGCCUCCUCCUCCUCCUCCUCCUCCAGCCCCGCCAUUCUGCUAAUUUAAUAUUUUUUUGGAAACACAUUCAAUUUGUAAUGAAUAUUAUUUAACUUUAUUUUUUUAUUUUUGAUGUUUAAUAAAAUUUUAUUUGCAUAAUAGUUUUUUUUACUAUUAAUUUACAUAUUUUUAUAUUAUUUAUUCUAAAUAAUUUUUUAAAAAACAAAUUUAAAAAACCCCACCAACAGAAUUCAUCCGUCGGCAUUUUACAGAAAGUUGAAAGAUAUUUACUAAAAAAGGCCACAAUCACUGAUGUCUUCACAGACGGAUAGUGUCCGUUGGCAUUUUACUUAGAAUCAAAAAAUAUUUACUGGAAAUACUAUAUUCACUGAUAUUUUCACAGACAGAUUUAUUUCGUUGGUAAAUACCGAGAGUUCAAACAAUGACUUGCAUUGACGAGUGUAAUAAUCUGGAACCACUCGCAAUAAAUAAAGCCACAAAAGGCAGACGAGAGUGUCUAUAUAUAUACAUAUAGGAACUGCUGAUUCGUGGUGCUUUCUCCUGCAAAUGAAUAGAAGACGAGUGUGUCUAUAUAUAUACAAAUAGGAACUGCUGAUUCGUGGUGCUUUCUCCUGCAAAUGAAUAGAAAGCAUAUCCUUUUAUCCUAUAUAAAGAAUACAAUUAACCUCAUUUCAAUAUCCUUGCUUUACUCUUCAGCUAACUUCUCUCUCCCAUUGCUGAAAUUUCAUAGCUAACUCUUUGUUAUAUAGAGGUAUAUAUGGCUAACUCUUCUUUGCUUCUUUCGUGUUUUAAUUUCAUGUCUUUACCAUUAACAAUAAUGUGAAAGCUUUGUUUGUUUCAUGUUUAACUUCAGUUGCUAUUGUCUUAUGCUCUCUCAUUAUUAAGCUUAAACUGUUGUAUCAUCUUCGAUGAUCUUGACAUGUAUCUCUUACUUGUAUUAGCAAGAGAGUAGAUACCUUCUGCAAUUGCUCCAUUGCUAAUUGACUGUGCCUUGAUUUCUGCAGCUGCCAUGACAGAGCCGGAGUCUUCUCGAUCUAUAUCACUAGGGGCCUAUGAUGUCUUCUUGAGUUUUAGAGGAGAAGACACUCGCAAGACAUUUACAGAUCAUCUCUAUACUGCCUUGGUCCAAGCAGGAAUCCACACUUUUCGAGAUGAUGAUGAACUUCCGAGGGGAGAAGAAAUCUCCGAUCAUCUCCUCAGGGCAGUUCAAGAAUCGAAGAUAUCCAUAGUUGUCUUCUCAAAAGGAUAUGCUUCUUCUAGAUGGUGUCUCAAUGAACUUGUAGAGAUUCUGAAGUGCAAAAAUAGGAAAACCGGUCAGAUUGUUCUUCCUAUAUUCUAUGACAUUGAUCCUUCAGAUGUGAGAAAACAGAAUGGCAGUUUUGCAGAAGCAUUUGUUAAACAUGAAGAGCGUUCUGAAGAGAAGUUGGUGAAGGAGUGGAGAAAAGCUCUUGAGGAGGCUGGAAAUCUAUCUGGACGGAAUCUCAAUGAUAUGGCAAAUGGGUAUGCCUUUUUCCCAAAUUUAUGGAGUCAAUAUACUUUACAUUUUUCAAUGUGAAACAAUAAAAUGCUUAAUUGACUCGCUAUCAAUGACUGCCUUUUGUCUAUGAGCAGGCAUGAAGCAAAAUUUAUCAAAGAGAUUAUCAAGGAUGUGUUGAAUAAAUUAGAUCCCAAGUACUUGUAUGUUCCUGAGCACCUAGUAGGUAUGGAUCGGCUUGCUCACAAUAUUUUUGACUUUCUAAGUACUGCAACCGAUGAUGUACGCAUUGUGGGCAUACAUGGGAUGCCAGGAAUCGGAAAGACAACUAUAGCAAAAGUUGUAUUUAAUCAACUCUGCUAUGGAUUCGAGGGAAGCUGUUUUCUUUCGAAUAUCAAUGAAACACCAAAAAAACUUACAGGUCUUGUUCGUUUACAAACGCAACUUCUUCGUGAUAUUUUAAAACAAGAUGUUGCAAACUUCGAAUGUGUUGAUAGAGGAAAGGUUCUGAUCAACGAACGAAUUCGUCGCAAAAGAGUUCUUUUUGUUGCUGAUGAUGUGGCUCGUCAGGACCAGCUAAAUGCUUUGAUGGGAGAGCGAAGUUGGUUCGGUCCGGGAAGUAGAGUAAUUAUUACAACAAGAGAUUCAAAUCUUCUUCGUAAAGCGGAUCAAACAUAUCAAAUUGAAGAAUUGACACGAGAUCAGUCCCUUCAGCUUUUCAGCUGGCAUGCCUUUAAGCACUCCAAGCCAGCAGAAGAUUAUAUUGAGCUUUCGAAGGAUGUAGUUGAUUACUGUGGAGGACUUCCUUUGGCUCUUGAGGUUAUGGGUGCUUGUCUGUACGGGAAAAACAGAGGUGGUUGGAAAUCUGUAAUUGACAAAUUGAGAAGAAUUCCAAACCACGAUAUUCAAGGAAAGCUUAGAAUAAGUUAUGACUCACUGGACGGUGAAGAACUACGAAAUGCAUUCCUUGAUAUCGCUUGCUUCUUUAUUGAUAGAAAGAAAAGGUACGUCGCAAAAGUGCUAGGAGCCCGUUGCGGUUACAAUCCAGAAGUUGAUUUGGAAACUCUCCGUGGAAGGUCUCUGAUUAAAGUUAAUGCCAUUGGAAAGAUAACCAUGCAUGAUCUAUUACGAGACAUGGGAAGGGAGGUUGUUCGUGAAACGUCUCCAAAAGAACCUGGAAAGAGGACCAGAAUUUGGAACCAAGAGGAUGCAUGGAAUGUACUUGAGCAGCAGAAGGUACGUAAGAGCGCAAUGCAUACAUGAAAGCAUAGUCAUGCGUAUUUUCUAGUCAAACUUAUUACAAAUAAUUGUAUGAAAGUUGGAUUGAUUUUUUUUUAGGGUACGGAUGUUGUAGAGGGUCUUGCACUGGAUGUAAGAGCAUCAGAAGCUAAAUCACUGAGCACAAGAUCAUUUGCAAAAAUGAAACGCUUAAAUUUACUCCAAAUCAAUGGAGCACAUCUCACCGGAUCCUUCAAACUGCUUUCUAAAGAGUUGAUGUGGAUUUGUUGGCUUCAAUGUCCUUUGAAAUAUUUUUCAUCUGAUUUUACCUUGGAUAAUCUGGCUGUUCUUGAUAUGCAAUACAGUAACCUCAAAGAACUAUGGAAGGGACAAAAGGUGUGAAACAUUCUACAAUCCCCAAAAUUUCUCCAGUAUGUAAUUUAUAUUUACAUGUUAUGACUUUCUAUGAUUAAUUUUCAUUAUUUUGCCCUCUAUUAAGACAGAUUCUCAACAGGUUAAAAAUCCUCAAUCUCAAUCAUUCUAAGAACCUUAUUAAAACACCAAACUUGCACAGUUCAAGUCUAGAGAAACUAAAGUUGAAAGGUUGCUCGAGUUUAGUUGAGGUGCAUCAAUCAAUUGAAAAUUUGACAAGCCUUGUUUUCUUGAAUCUGGAGGGAUGUUGGAAUCUGAAGAUUCUUCCUGAAAGCAUUGGCAAUGUAAAGUCUCUUGAAACUUUGAAUAUUUCUGGGUGUUCACAACUUGAGAAAUUGCCAGAAUGCAUGGGUGAUAUGGAAUCCUUAACCGAGCUGCUAGCAGAUGGGAUUGAAAAUGAGCAAUUUCUCACUUCAAUUGGACAAUUAAAGCAUGUCAGAAGGUUAUCGUUGUGUGGAUACAGUUCGGCUCCACCAAGUUCUUCUUUGAAUUCAGCAGGUGUUUUGAAUUGGAAACAGUGGCUGCCAACAUCUUUUGGAUGGAGAUUAGUGAAUCAUCUUGAGCUUUCUAAUGGUGGUUUGUCUGAUCGCACAACUAACUGUGUUGAUUUCAGUGGUUUGUCCGCUCUAGAAGUAUUGGAUCUAACAAGAAACAAAUUCUCUAGCCUGCCUUCUGGGAUCGGCUUCCUUCCCAAGCUAAGGCGGUUGUUUGUUCUGGCAUGCGAAUAUCUUGUAUCAAUCCUAGAUCUUCCCUCAAGUUUAGAUUGUUUGGUUGCAUCUCAUUGCAAAUCAUUGAAAAGAGUAAGAAUACCAAUCGAGCAAAAAAAAGAUCUAUAUAUAGAACUACAUGAAAGUCAUUCGUUAGAAGAGAUUCAGGGCAUCGAAGGUCGAAGUAAUAGUUUCUGGUAUAUUUGUUCUAAUCAGUUCAGUCAUUCACCAAAGAAAUUACAGAAAAGCGUUGUUGAGGUACUAUUUCUUUCAGUCUCUUUUGCACACGAAGAAACACACAAUUGGUACAUACAUUGAUUAAUGUCUAAAAUCUCAGCAUUUCUUGAAAUCAAUAUGUAUACAGGCAAUAAUCAUCAUUAUUAUUAUUUUAUUUUAAAAAAUAAAUAUGUUUAAUAAUAUUUUUUAUUUUUCUUAUUUAAUCUAAAAAAUUAAAUAUUAUCUUUAAUAAUAUGUUUUUAUUAAAUAUUUAAAGUCUGAUUGGUUUUAUUUUUUAAUUAUUUCUUGAUUUUAUGAUAAUAUACAGGUAAUGUGCAACGGUCGUCACCCGUAUCGUAUUUCCCCCAUUCGUGGUGAGAUGCCAAAUUGGAUGAGCUGCAGUGGAGAAGGAUGUUCAUUGUCAUUCCAUAUACCUUCAGUCUUCCAAGGCUUAGUUGUUUGGUUUAUCUGUCCACUUGAACCCGUGACAAUUGAAUUCGAUUCUCGCAUUAUUAUUAUUAUAAGAAAUAAAAGCAAUGGUAUUCAAUUGUUUGAAGAUAAACGAACACCAGGAACUGACAUGUUUUUUAUUGAGGGAUUCAUAAGAUACAUAAGUAUAAGUGAAAUGGGAAUGGAAGAUUACUGUGGAGAUGACGAAUUGGAACUCUGCAUUUAUUCAGAGCCAACAGAGCAUGCGGUGCGCCGUCUUCCAUUCUACCCCGUACACAUUAAAGAAUGUGGGGCCCAUGUGAUCGCAAAGAAGUUAAAUUCAUUUGAAGAGUCGGCAAUGGGAAGAGCUACAGUGAUGCCUUCACCAUCGCUGUAUCAUCUGCUUCCUCAUCCCCAUUGUGGUUCAAUUACAGCAUCUACACCUAAGCAAUGGAGUAAUUAUUUAUUUGCGAAGCUGCAAGAAUAUAACCUCAGUUUAACAUUUCAUGGUAAGAACAAAUAUUUCCUUUAGUUAUUUUUAUUCUAUUAUAUUUAAUUUAUGAGAUUAAAUAUUAUCUUUAAUUAUUUCAUUAUUAUUAUUUAAUCUAAAACAUUAAAUAUCAUCUUUAAUUAAAAAAUAUAUAUAUAUUUAAGGCUUUUUGGUAAGAAUACAUAUUUCCUUUAGUUAUUUCUAUUUAAUUUAAGAGAUUAAAUAUCAUCUUUAAUUGUUACAAUAUUUUUCUUAUUUAAUCUAAAAUUUUAAAUAUUUUCUUUAACAAUAUUUUUUAUUAAAUAUUUAGAGUCUACUUGGUUUUAUUUUUUUUCUUGAUUUUAUGAUAAUAUUUUUCUUAUUUAGUAUAAAAAAUAAAUAUUAUCUUUAAUAAUUAGAUCUAUCGAAUAUCACUUAAAAAAUAAAUUAUAACUUUAAUAAUUAUUUUUUGAAAAACAAAAAGCCAACAAUCACUAACAUAUUUUAUUAAAAUCACUUUAGUUUAUUUAGAAAAUAUUGAAAAUUGAUUAUUUUUUUUACAUUAAAAUAAAAAAAUUAAAAAAUGUUUUUAUAUUUUAUUUCAAAGUCGAUAUUUUAAAACAAAAAUGAAAAAGAUGUGAUAUUAACCUUUUUUAUUAUAAAGUAAGUUUUUUAAUUAAAAGUGAUGAGAAUUUGUUCGUAAUAACAAAAUGCAUGUUUAAUUUUCUUUUCAAACUUGGAAUAUAUUUCUAUUGAAUUUGAUGGUUUUUUUAUCUUAAAACACUUGCCAGCAAUCUUGUUUUUUCAAUGCUGCCAUUUAGCAAGUGGAGUACUGUAGCUUUUCCACAUACAUUGAAUAAUAACAGUUUGAAUAAAUAACAAGAAAAUAGAAAUUAGUUUUAUUAAUUUGAACGGUACAUCAUUCAUCGAAUAAAUUACAAAAAAGUAUUAUUGAGAUACUAUUUUUUUCAGUUUCUAUUGCACCAAAAUAAACACAUAUAUUUGUCACAUAUAUUAAUUAAUAUCAAAAAUCUCUGUAUUCCUUGAAAUCAAUAUGUAUACAAGUAAUAAUCAUUAUUAUUUUAUUUUAUUUUAAAAAAUAAAUAUCAUAUUAAAUAAUAUUUUUUAUUUUUCUUAUUUAAUUUAAAAAAUUAAAUAUUAUCUUUAAUAAUAUUUUUUAUUAAAUAUUUAAAGUCUGAUUGGUUUUAUUCUUUAUUUCUUGAUUUUAUGAUAAUAUAUUUAUACAGGCAAUGUGCAACGGUCGUCACCCGUAACGUAUUGCUUCAUUUCGUGGUGAGAUGCCAAAUUGGAUGAGCUACGGUGGAGAAGGAUGCUCCUUGUCAUUCCAUAUACCUCCAGUCUUCCAAGGCUUAGUUGUUUGGUUUGUCUAUCCACUUGAGAAGGAUUGUCAUAACCUAUUUUUAGGUUAUUUUUCAAUAUAUAUAUUUUUUUUUCUUCAAAAAAAUUACAAAAAAAAUCUAAAAAUAUUAUAAAAAAUAUAACAGUAAAAAGAGGAUGUCAGAACGCUCAGAAAAUAGUUAAAAUUUGGUUGAGGAGGUUUAAAAAUAUAAAAAUUAAAAUUUGGUAGUAUUUUAUUAACUGAUGAUAGCCCUGUUGACAAAGAAAAUUCAAUUUGAGAAAAAAAAAGUCUAAAAUCAGAUGUUGAGGGACUCAAUUAAAUUAUAUUGAAAGUUUAAUUGAAUUUAUGGAGGGUUUGAUUGUAAGAAAAAUUGAUUUUGGAGUUAAUUUGGGCUUUAAUUGGAAGAAAUUAAAGUUCUGGGGUCAGAUUAUAUUUUUUUUUAGAGUUGAUUUGGUCAAAUUGGGGGCUUAAUUGCAUAAAUAUUAAAGUUUGAUGGCCAAUCGGGGACUUAAUUGAAGAAAUCUGAGACCAAGGACCAAAAUGCAAAACGCGCGCAAAUUGAAGGAUUGAAUUGAAAUCUAGCGCUUUGGCUCCAAUUUUCAUUUAAAUGAAACAGUGCGUUUUAAGCAAAACGACGUCGUUUCAUGCACUUUCCAAAAAAAAAAAAGAGGACGAAACGGUGCCGUUUUGAGGCGGCACUGUUUCUUCUUCUUCUUCCCCUGGACAUGCAGCAGGGGAAGAGGCGUUUUUGUUUUCUUCUCUUUGUUUCUUCCUCUCCCUCCCCAUGUGCUCUGUUACAACCAAAACCGGUCGCCACUUGCCUCAUGAUGAGAUGCCAAAGCAGUCGUGCCCCGCAAGCGACGCCUCCAUUGGCCACCUCUGUCGGCGCCGUGACAGAGCAGGAGACGUGCGACGCAUGCAUGGGCAACGAUGGGACGGGGCAGGGUCGACCCCGCUCCCCUUGCCCCUAUAAAUAGUGACCCGAAAGGAGAAAAAAAGGAACACGGGAGAAAACAGGGAGGGAAACCGAGAGAGAGAAAUCGAUAGUGUUGAGAGAGAAAUGACUGAAACAGUAGAAACCAAAAAAACCGGGGAUAUCGAUAGGGAGACCGAGAGAGACAGACGGGGAGAAGGAAGAAAAAGGACAAAAGAGGUAAACCGAUGGGGAAGAAGACACUGACUGGUGUCUCUACACAGCGGAGAAGAAGCGCCGCUGCUGGCAUUGGGCUUCACAGUCACCGCCACCGCAACACCACCGAGAACGUUCACCAGCAUCACCGUCAGCUCAGCCAUCCGAGAUCACCACCUCAGGUAAAUUCUCUUCCCCUCACGCCGAUAAUUAUUCAUCUUCUUGCUUGUAGAACGUGCACUGUGCACGUUCUGCAUGCAAGAAGAAAUAAUUAGUCGGUUACCGUGCAUGCGCACAGUAACCGGCUAAUUAAUUAACUAGUUACUGUGCUCAUGCAUAGUAACUAGUCAUUGGUUUCUUCUUCUGCGAGUUGGAACAUCAGCCCAGCCCACGCGACUGGGCUGAGUCCAACCCCCUUUUUUUUAUGCGGGCUGGAACAUCAGCCCAGCCCACGCGGCUGGGCUGAGUCCAGCCCUGUUAACUGCGGCCUGGAACAUCAACCCAGCCCAUGCAGCUGGGCUGAGUCCAGCCUUGUUGCUGGGCCAAUACAGGCCCAACCCAGUUCAUUUCAUUUUUUCUUUUUUCCUUUUUGUUUUGUGUUUUAUAUAUAUAUAUUGUGAUUUUCCCACGGAUUUUUCUACGUCAUUUUAACUAAUAUUGGUCUAUAUUUUUUACUCGGUUUUCAAAAAAAAAAACUUUUGCUUUCAUGCAUACGGCCAAGUCUCUCAAAGCUAAAAAAUCAUAUUGUAUUUUUAUACAACAAAGAAAACUAAAAAAAUAUAUAUUAUUUUAGCAUGCAUUUUAGCUUUAAUAACCAGUUUAUUAAAGUCAUGAUAACUUGGCCAAUAUUUCAAAAAAUCAAAAAAAAUAUUUUGUUUUGUUUUAAUGUCUGGGAUUACGAAUUUAUACGUAAAACGUAUUCCCGAUAUUAAAAAGGUAGUUCUUUUAUAGACAUUAGGCCGGUUAGAUUUUUACCCCAUAAGAUAAGAACCUCCUUACUGAGGAGGGCUUUUCUUGAACCCUAGACAGACCAACAUGAUAAGACCUUAGAUUUUUUAUUAGACAAUAAAACAAUGCAGCUUACCUUAGGUAGGGUGUAUUUGAGGUGCUAAUACCUUCCCUUUGCGCAACCAGUCUCCGUACCCGAUCUCUAAGACCAGUUAGGGUUCCUAGUGAUCAGAAUACUAGGUGGCGACUCUCAUUCCAUUUUUUCACCGCUAAGAGACAAAGAAUUCCUUGUUUUACCAUAUUUUCCAGAAUAGAUAGACAUACCACAUUUGAUGAUGAGGGUGGUGGAUGAUCGCCGCACACGUGCGAUAGAAUGGUGACUCCACUGGGGACCCAUCAAAUCAAUCAACAGAAAAAAAAAUCACCAAGCCGAUGCCGCGCGGGUGACAUGCGACAAGGAUGAUCAUUAUUACUCACGGUCUGGCACUAUUAUUAUUAUUAUUAUUAUUAUUAUUAUUAUAAGAAAUAAAAGCAAUGGUAUUCAAUUGAUUAAAGAUAAACGAAUAGUAGGACCUUUCCUACCAAAAACUGCGGGAUGGAUAAGAUACAUAAGUAGAAGUGAAAUGGAAAAUGGAAGAUUACUGUGGAGAUGACGAAUUGGAACUAUACGUAUAUUCAGAGCCAAGAGGAGAUACAGUGCGCAUCAUUAAAAAAUGUGGGGUUCAUGUGAUCGCAGGGAAGUUAGAUUCAUUUGAAGAGUCGGAAGUGGAAAGAGAUAUAAUGAUGCCUUCACCACCGUUGUAUCAUCUGCUUCCUCAUCUCCAUUGUGGUUCAAUUACAGCGUCUACACCUAAGCAAUGGAGUGACUAUUUAUUUGCGAAGCUGAGUAAAUAUAACCUCAGUUGAACGCUUCAUGGUAAGAACAAAUAUUUCAUUUAGUUAUUUCUAUUUUAUUCUAUUUAAUUUAAGAGAUUAAAUAUUACCUUUAAUUAUUUCAUUAUUAUUAUUUAAUCUAAGAAAUUAAAUAUCAUCUUUAAUAAAAAAAAUUAUUAAAUAUUUAAGGCUUUUUGCUAAGAAUACAUGUUUCCUUCAGUUAUUUCUAUUUUAUUCUAUUUAAUUUAAGAUAUUAAAUAUAAUCUUUAAUUAUUUUAUUUUUCUUAUUUAAUUAAUCUAAAAAAUUAAAUAUGUUCUUUAAUAAUAUUUUUUAAAAAAUAUUUAGAGUCUGAUUGGUUUUAUUUUUUAUUUCUUGAUUUUAUAAUAAUAUUUUUCUUAUUUAAUUUAAAAAAUAAAUAUUAUCUUUAAUAAUUAGAUCUAUCAAAUAUCACGUAAUUAAUUAUAUCAUUAUUUUAUUGGUAGCAACUUAGGAGUCUUUUAAGCCAAAAGAAUAAUAGCUAGGAAGAGCUAAAAUUAGCAAGGAAUAUUUAGAGUCUGUUUGAUUUUAUUGUUUUUCUUUGAUUUCUUAAUAAAAAAAAUCAAAUUCUUGAAAACAAAAAUUGAAAACUUAUACGUUUUGAUUUUGAUUUUAUUUUUGAAAAUGAAAAGCCACCAAUCAAUAGCAUAAUCUAUUAAAAUCACUUUGUUUUAUUUAGAAAAUAUUGAAAACUGAUUUUUUUUACAUUAAAAUAAAAAAUUGAACAAUAUUUUUAUAUUUUAUUUCAAAUUUGAUAUUUUAAAACAAAAAUGAAAACGAUGUGAUAUUAACCUUUUUUUUAUUAUAAAGUAAGUUUCUUAAUUAAAAGUGAAGGUGAUUUGUUUGUAAUAACAAAAUGCAUAUACAAUCAUGCAAAAGUUGUAUUUAAUCAACUCUGCUAUUGAAUUUAAUGGUUUUUUAGGGAACAAAUGAUAUGGAUGAAUGUGAGAGCACAAGAUCAUUUUACAAAGAGAUUGAUUGGUACUUAAAAAUAUAUUUUUAUUAAGGUUUUAUAUCAUCAUAUUGCAUUUAAAGUAUAAUUAAAUUCUCUAAUUUAAGCAUAUUUUAUAAUAACAAGUCUGAUAACAUAAAAUAUAUUUAAUUUAUGGUAAAUGCUCAUUUUGAAUGCAGGCAUAUCUCACAAUUUAAAGGAUUGAUUGAUGUGUUUAACUAUUAAAAGUGAAAAGACAAAAAGAAGGCUAAGCUUAAAGAAGAAAUGUUGGUUCAAUUCAAACUGGAAUAUCAUUAUGUUAUUGAAUCAUAACUAUAGCUAUAGAACAUGGAUUUAGGUUUGGUUUAUAUGGAUGGAAAGCUAAGACAUAGGCCUAAAACUUUCAUGAAGAGUUCAAGAUUCAAAACGGCCCUUUUCAAGUUCAAAUUAUAGCAACAAAAGAGAAGUCGAAAUAUGACUUGUAACCUAGACACUGUUCAGUGUUCAGCCCAUAUCUCGAGUUCUAGAAGUUCAAAUAAUCUCAUUCUUGUUUUGUUGGAAAACUGAGACAAAUGCCCAGAAGUUUCAUGAAGACUAUCUGUUCAAAUUUUGAUGUUAGCAUGUUGUGUUCAGACAAGAAGAUAAUGGUUGUCACCAAGUCAAUAGGUGGCCACCCACUUAAUAAUUAGUCAUUAAAUCAAUAGUUCUGAAUUUUGGACUCUAAAAGAAGGCAUUUGCCAUACAUUUAGACAUCUUGGUGUUCAGAUCAAGAUCUUGCUCUCACUCUCUCUAUUUGUAUUUUGUAAUGUUCAAGUUUUAUUUUAUGUUAUAUUAAUCUCUUAUUUAUGCUUUUCAUUUCUUUUACUAUACUUAGUUAACUUAUAUCAUGUUUAUGUUAUUAUGUUGUUUAUUUAUGUUUUUCUUCUUCAUGAUGUUUAUCUAAGUUAAUUUUGUCAAGGUGAAAAGGGUACACUAAUGGUGUAAGAAUAAGUAUAAUACAAACUCCACAUAGACUUUAAUGUUUAAUACUAACAUGUUUUGUAUUUGUUAUCUUACUCACUCUUUAUACCUUACUUGUUAAAUGGUUAAUCUAAAUUUAUGUUGUACAACCCUUGGCAUAACAAAUACUUGACACUUUCAUAACCUACUGUAUGGUAUAAUCAACACUUGUGCUAUGAAAGGAACUUGAUUUAUUGUUAACAUAAAUUAUCAUCAUGAAUACCUGACCACAUUUACAAGUAUUGGCAUUACUCAAAUAAGAUAAUUAAUAUAAUCAUGUAUGUGGUUUCUAGUUGAGUAAUAAAAAGAGUUUAUACUAUACUUAUUUGAAAUACCUCUAACUUUAACAAUUGUUUUAUCCUUGUUUAAUCCUUACAUCAAUAUCACAUUUCAAAAGUUCUCUUCAACUCCUUUUUAAUUGUUGUUUAUAAUUUUAUAUAAUUCAUCUCCCUGUGUUUCAACCCCGGUCUUGCCGGGUUAUUUAUUACUUUGACACUCCUGCACUUGAUAUAAGACAUCAAUCUCUUGAUCGUGUUAGAGAUGCUUGAAGUUACUCUUUAUUGGUAUGGUAGUUGUUUCUAACGAGUUGAUAAGUAUUUGUUAGCUUGAAGAUUAUUUUCCAAACUUGGAAGUUAUAUUGAAUGCUUUUUGAAAUCUUUUCCAUCCGAUUUGAAAUUGGACAACCUAAUUGUUAUUAUCCAUUAUGUAAUUUAUAUUUUCAAGUUUCAACUUUUGAUGAAUAUUGUAUUGAAUGCUCUUUGAAAUCUUUUCCAUCCGAUUUGAAAUUGAAAAACCUAGUUGUUAUUAUCCAUGACGUAAUUUAUAUUUUCAAGUUACAACUUUUGAUGAAUAUUGUUUCCUUUUUUUCUCACUUCUUGGAAGUAUUCUCAAAAAGAUGAAAAUCCUCGAUCUUAGUUAUAAAUAAAUUGGUUUUCUAGGAAGAGAUUAUUAGGUGGGAUAUAUUAUUUGAGUUGGUUCUUCAUCAUUUAAUGUUAUGAUUUAAGAUAAUUGAUGAAAACUACCAAUACACAAGAAUGUUUAGAAAGCAUCUUUAAUUGGUCUAAUAAGUAAAGUCUUGUUAGUUUUGGCCAUAAGCUAUGUAUUAUUGCUUGUUUUUUACUAUUUUUUUACCUUUUUUGUUUUUUGUAUAUACAACUUUUGUUUUUCUUGCGAGUUUCUCAUUAGCUUUAUGGCACUAACAUCAAUUAAUAAUAAAUCUUGGACUAUUAUUAAAUAAAAAAAAACAUAAACAUUGUUAAAACACCAAACUUGCAUAGUUCAAACCUAGAGAAACCCUAUGCCAAUAAUCUAAUUUAAAAAAAUAAUUAAUUUAUCCUUGUAGUCUUAGAAAAUAGUAUUUAAUCCUUAUGUUUUUACAUUUAUCUUUGAUUUAACCUUUUACAUCUAUUUCAUCUUAUUAUUUUGGUUUACUAAGUAAAGUCUUAGAAACCUAUUUAUGGUCUUAAACAACUUAAAAAGGCUCAAAAACCUAAAAUGAACUCAAACCUGAAAAUCUUCAUGCUGAGAGGUCUGUUUCAUCAAGCAAGGAAAAAGAAAAAAAAAACAUAGGUGAAACUUCCCUCAUCAAAUAAAAUCCAAUGACACUAGGAUUGACUAUUUUGGUGGCUAGAAUAGAAGUCAACGAUAACAUUUUCUUUCCACGUCGGAAUCUAGCAAGUUUCUCUCUUCUCUCACAAAAAAAAACUAAAAAAUAAGGAAAAUAAAGUUUGGUAUUAAAAUCAAAUUUCCGACAACUAAAGAGACCAAUCACCUAUUAACUAAAAACAAUUGGGGACCGAACUAAGUUUUUCAUAUGAAAUAUGAAGUUGACAUCUAUUUUCUCCAUGUUUUUUACUUUGGUUAUCUAUCUUUCAAUCCAACCCUUUCUUCAUAAAAAUAGAAGUAACUUUGUAUUAAUUUGGACUAAAAAAGGUACAAUAGUGCAAAAACAAAUUGAGGAUCAAAUUGAGAAUUAAAAAAUAAUUGAUUAUUUUAAUCUAUAAUGAUAUGUGAGAGAGUGCACAUUAUAAAGUGAAGAGAAAAAACUCCACAUGACUUUGAAACACCUUUGAUGGUUGAUUGAAAUUGGUAAGUGAGUUUCCUCACAUGUUGUUUUUUCGGUUUUGAGUCCAAAUAUGGAGAUUUUAUGAUUUAAGGUAUUUUUCAUGAAUGCAACCCUUCAUGUAUUCAAUAACUUAUUUUCUAGUAUAAACUACGUUUGAAAUAAAAUUGAUAAAAGACAUGUGGUACACAAUUAAUGAUGGCAUGUAUAUAAAAAUAAUUAAAUUGAAAAUUUUCAAUUAUCUUUAAAGAUAUCAUGGUUUUAGUCGGUUAAAUUAUAAAAAAAAUAUUUAAUUUUUUGAUAUAAAUAAUAAUAACAAAUUAGAUAAUAGUAACAAGAAAAUAGGAAUUAGUUUGAAUAAAUGGUACCAGUUCCUAUUAUGAUAUAUCUAGAGAAGAAGUUUGAAGAAUAAAAUGAAGUGAAAUAUUCUUAAUAAAAAAAGAAAAACACAAAAAGAAAUAAAAAAAUAUUCUUAAUAAAUAUAAAAGAUGGGUGAAAUUAGAGAACAAGAAAGAGAUAUAGAAUCUCUUUGUAAGAUUUCUAAAAACUUAAUUACAAUUAUAUUAUAAUUUCUUCCCUAAAAUUAUUUAAAAUAUAGUAUUAGAAUUACAUAAUGCUAGGUUUUAAUAUAUAAUUAAAGAGUUUCUCCUUAACCAAAUAUAAAAAUAUUUUAUAAUUCUUUUGAAUGAAUUAUUAACGGAGGGACUGUUUUGGGUCCCUAUUUAGCUGAUUUUAUUUGAAUAUAUUAUUUGACUAGUCCAUUUAUAGGUUUACUCUACUAUUCUUGCCUUACUGGAACCGGAAAAUUCACUCGAAAUUUCUAGUAGUUUACACAGAAAUUUCCUGUGCUAAACUUCAAAGAAUUUCUUUUCUUUUCAUUUUGUAUUUUCUCAUUUUCUUGGCAUGCGCGCAGCUGCAUCAAGGAAAAAACGUUUCAGAUGCGUGUAAUAAAUCCAAUCGAUGAAUGAGAAAGGGACGCAAAAUAAAGAUAAAAGUGGAAUAUUCUCAUUAAUUGGUCAUCAUUUAAACGUUGGACACAGCCAUCUAUAUGUUGUUUAAAGAAUUUAAAUGGUUAGUCAGAAAGGAUUGCUUUUUAAUUAAAAAUAUAUUAAAAUAAUAUUUUUAAUGCCAAGUAUUUGUUCAACCUCAUUAAUGCUAACGAGUGGACCCAGUUGUUGUGGAAACUUUGCUAGGGAUCUGGAGUGUCAUAAUCCAAAAUUAUUCCUUAAAAUUUAUAUUUUUUCAAAAUAAAAAUCAAAAAAAUAAAAUAAAGGCUGGCAACGUGGAGAAAGCAGGCCGGAAAAUCAAGCUGUAAUUUUUGGAGGAAAUUCAAGGCGUAAUUGUACCCCACUAUGCCCCAAAAUAGAGAGAAAAUAUAAAUUCAAGGUCAAAUUAAAUGAUUAUUUGACAAAUUUGCAUAAACAUUAAGUCCGAUGACAUAAUUAAAUUUUUAAUAGGCCAAUUUGAUUUAAUCACGGGCCAAAUUAAAUUUUAAUUAUGUUUAAGAAUUAAUUUGCGUCCAAUUGAAGGAUUUAAUUAAGUGCAAGGACUUAAUUAUACUUUAAAUGGGUCAAAUUAAUUUUAUUUUGGGCUUAAUUGGUGAAAACUUAAGUUUGGGAGCUUAAUUGAGAAGAUUGGAAUUUUAAGAGACCAAAUUUAAUUCUUACCAAGUUAAUUGAUUGAAAUUAGGGGCCCAAUUGCAAGAACAUUGAAGUUUUGGGGUCAAUUGGGGGUUAAAUUGAAGAAAUUGACAGCUAAGGACCACUCUGCAAAAGGCGAAAACAUUUGGGGACUUAAUUGACAACCACCGGGGCAAAAUUGAAGAAAUUGAAAGUAUAAUGGUCAAUUAGAGGUUAAUUUGACAAAAUUCGAGACCAAGGACCAUAUUGCAAUAGGCGCGUAACUUUGGGGUUUCAAUUGAAGUUUAUCAGGGGCUUAAUUGCAUUAAAUCCAAAGUUAAGGGUUAAUUAGGGGUUCAAUUGAAACCAAUUGAAAGAUGGAGGACUAAGAUGAAAAUAUGUUAAAAUCCCUAAUUCAACUCAAAAUGGCGCCGUUUUAUAUUAAAAAAGAGAGAGAGAGAGGGGACCAGACGACGCGUUGUCGGGUCACUGUUCAUUGUCUUCUUCUUUUACCCGAAAGAAACUGCUUGGGAGCCUUAUUUGCAGGUGCAUUUAAUGCUUGAUUUCUCCAUAAAAUUGAACAAAACUUGCACGAAAAGGAUCCCCUGCAAUUCCUCUACAAACCCAUGUGAACUUUUCAGGAUUAAUGACAGCACAGCUACGCCGGAGAUGGCGUGAAGAGGUCAACUCAGGCAGCCUUUUCCUGCAGAUUUGACAACUCAGGGAGGCUACUUUGAGCCAACAGUUGGGAUCCUUCCCAACAGAAUCAAGAGCUAAAAUUUUACCCCAGUGCAAAAGAGAUUACCCUCUUCGACCGCCUAUAAAUAGAGGCUGAUUUGAUGGCCUGAGGGAGGAAAAAAAAUCGGGUCCAAAAUUUGAAAAAAACAAGCUCCCACUGCCCCCGUUUCUGCAAUUUCUCUCUCUCUCUCCGUCGCUUCAACCACCACCAACCUCAUCACCAGCUUCUCCACCACCAGCUCCAUCACAGUAAGCCACCAACCGACCACCGAGAGCCACCGUGAACCUUUCUCUCUCCUCUGCAAACCGGUUUCUUCUUUCUCCCACAGCGACUCCACCGGCCAAAACUCUCCACCAACGCCGCCAUCAGCCUCUUUUCUUCCACGACCAGACCACCGCCAACUUCACGCCAGGCCAGAGACAGCAGCUUCUUCUCCUCCGCAAGGUCGCCUCCCACUUCACUCCGCCGUCUGCGCAAAGUUGCAUGCAGAACAUGAACUUACUGUUCACGUUCUACAAUUAAUUCAUCCCUCACUUGGGCCGGGCCAUAAAUGUUUGGCUGGGUCUGGCCCGGCCUCAAAAGAAAAGGAGAAAGAAAAUAUGUUGGGCCGAUAUCGGCCCAACCUUUUUGGACCGAGAUCGGCCCAACUGUUUCUGGGUUUCUGCUUGGUCCAGUUACUUGGGCCAUCCCGGCCCACCUGUUUUAAUAAUAUUUAAUUAAUAUAUUAUAUUAUAUUAUAUAUUUCCUUUUAAAAAAAACAAAAAAAUCCAAAAAAAAUUUCAAAAAUCAUUUUUAAAAAAUUACGAUUUUCUCAAAUAUUUUUCUACCACUUUUGUAUAAUAUCGGGUUGUAUAUUUACACUGUAAAAUACAAACCUGGUAUUAAAAUACCCGGUUUUCUCCUAAAUAUUUCAAAAACAAAAUUCAAAACAUUUUCAAAGAGAAAAAAAAUAUUUUGUUGCAUACGGCCAAAUCUUAAAAUUUUUCCAAGCAUAUUUUUCAAUAAAAAAACAAAAAUUGCAUCUUUCUCCAGUUUUGAAAAUAAAAAAAAUGGAUAUCAUAACCAGUUUGUGAAUAUCCAUUAGAAUUUGGCCAACAUGUCAAAACCUUUUUCCAAUCUUUUUAGGGUUCAGAUGCAGACUUUAGUAUUUGUGGAGUGUAAAAUUACACGAUAAAGUACACCCUCAGGUAUUAAAGAUACAAGGUGUAAAUAAAUGCGAUGCUAAAAUUCAGACUUUAGAAUGGUUAGGAUUUAACCUGAUAAAGUAAAGACUUUCUCAUGAAGAGAGAUCUGCCUUAAACCUUAAAAAAGACCAACGAAUAGAAACCCGAUUUAGAAAAAAACAAUCAAACAACAAUGUAGCUUACCUUAGGUAGGGUGCACUGGGGGUGAUGCGUCUUCCCCUUGCACAACCAGUCUCUUACCCAGACUCUCGCAGACCAUAGGUUUCUAGUGAUCAUAAUACUAGGUGGCGACUCCUAAACAUUAAUCAUAAUUUUAUAAUUAAAUCCAAAAAACCUUCCCAACACACAACACCUCACACAGGAGGCACGACAAGAAGCCUUUGCCGUCGCCAGACGACGUCGCGCCCCUUGCGACAUGGAGGAAGAAAAAUGAUUGCAUUGCUAAUAAUUUGCAAGAGAGAAUUCUUUUUCUGAAUAGAAAAAACUAUUAUUUUUAAAAUAAAAACAACUAAAUAGAAAAAUUAUUAUUUUUUAAAUAGAAAAACUAGAAAAGCCUUGUAAUAUUGAAUAAAAAAUAAAAUAGAAAAAUUAUUCUUUUAAAGUAGAAAAAAUUAUGACAAUUUAAUAAUACUGAAUAGAAAUAAAUCAAAUUUUUAAACUAAAUAAAAAUAAUAGAGAAAAAUAUUUAUUAUCCUAAACUUUUUUAUAUUAAAAUCUUAAUUUAUAACAUGAACUGAGUCUACAUGCUAAAAUUAGAAGAACAAAAAAAAAAUGUAACAAAAAAAUUCCAUACAACACAAUUAAUGAUGGGAUCAUAUAUUUUGAGACUAAAAUGAGGUUUUCGAAUUACCUUUAAACAUAACAUAACAUGAUUUUAAUAGAUGUACUGUACAUCAUUUGAAUUUAUUAGAAAAAACAUAUAAUGUAAAGUAUGAACCACUUACCAUUAACUAGAUUUUUCAAUUGGAUUUUUUAUUUAAAUGAAAAGGAAAAUUUAUUUUAUUAUGAAAAAUAUUUUUUAUAUAUAUCUAGUAAUAAUAAAUUAAAGGAUAAUAACAAGAAAAUAACAAUUAGAUCGAAUAAAUGGUACCAAUUUCUAUUCUGAUAUAUCUAGCCAAAGAAUAGAAUGAAUCAAAAUAUUCUUAAUAAAAAAAAUAGAAAACACAGAAAGAAAUAAAAAAAUGUUCUUAAUUAAUAUAAAACUAUUAAUUUACAAAAGAAAUUUUCUGGUACUUUAUACUGUAUAUAAUUUGAAAAAUUGUGACUGACCGACUUACUUGCAAAGUAUUUGCAAGAAAGUUAAAGAAUUAGAGUUUUUUAAUAUUCAAAAUUAUAAUUUUAAAUUCUACGAAAAAAAUCAAUUAUUUUUAAAACUGUUUUCAAAAAUAAAACAUCAACUAUUUAUAUAAUAGCUAAAUAAAACAAUUAAAAUAAAUAAAAAAAUAACUAGUAAAAUCAAGUGAAUAAUCCAAAAAUAACAAGAAAAUAGAGAUAUUUCCUAAAUAUGAUUUCAGUUUGUUGUAUUGAUCAAUUUGCUAACAUAAAUAGCAUAAACGAACUUUAUUCUAAUAGUAUGUUUGAUAUUUAAAAAAAAAAAAAACUUAUAGAUAUUAUAUGGGUUGGCAACCCAUUUUUUAUUAAAUUUUAAAUUUUAUUUGUUUAAAAAUAUUUGUUUAUGUUUUUUAAUUAUUUUAAUAUGAUAAUAUCAAAAAUAAAUAAAUAAAAUUUUUCUAAGUUUUACUACUUCUGACUUGCUUUGACUCGAAAUUAGUGGUGCUUUCUCCUGCGAAUGAAUAGAAAGCAUAUCAUAAAGGUGUGUUUGACAUUGUGUUUUGGAAGUAUUUUUUAAAAAAAUAAAUUUUUUUAUUUUUUUUCUUCAAAUUAUUUUUUUUGUUGAUGUUUUCAUAUUAUUUUGAUAUGCUGAUGUCACAAAUAAUUUUUAAAAAAUAAAAAAAUAUAUUAUUUUGAUGUGUUUUGAAAUGAAAAAACUUUAAAAAGCAACCGCUACCACACUCUCAAACUCCUUUGUUUAUUGAGUCUUACUGUGAAACCUCGUUUUGGGAUGAAUUGAUUGUAAGAAUAAGAAAUUAUGUGCAAAUUAUACAAAAUUUAUUAUUCAUCAUCAAGAUUUAUUAUUUAUUAUCACUAUUGAAUAAUGAUUUAUUUUAUAAUAUAAAUUAUGUUUAAAAUAAAAUUGAUAAAAUUAAAAUACAUGAAACGAGGUCGUAUAUUUUGAAACUAAAUUAAAAUUAUUUUCUUUUUCAAUGAUAUCAUUUGUUAGUUUGCAAGUCCACAUGUCACGAGUCUCCACUGCAUGAAAUUUGCAAAAUCAUAUGGCCCAUUGAUAGAAGGUGUGUUGAAGCAAAAUCUGUUUUAUUGAUUAUCAAUAUUGAAUAAUAGCUUAUUUUCUAGUAGAAACUAUGUUUGAAAUAAAAUUGAUAAAAGACAUGAUAUACAAUUAAUAAUAGGAUCGUAUAUAAAAAUAGGAAAUUUCCUGGUAAUAAAGUCCCAACUUUCGUAGGCGAGCACUAAAGUCCCAAACUUCAAGAAUUUCUCUUCUUUUCCUUUUGUAUCUUCUCAUUUUCUUGGCAUGCGCGCAGCUGCCUCGAGGAAAAAACGUUUCAGAUUCGGAAAAUAAAGAUAAAUGUGGAAAAAAAAAAUCCCAAAUAAAGAUAUCUUUUCGUCCCUUGGUGUCGUGUGAAUACCAUGUGGAUAUCAUUUCAGAAAAUCAAUUCAACCGUUCUCCAAAGAACACUCAUACUCCAAUAUCAGCAACUACCACGAAAGUUACCACUCUAAAUUCCAGCUCAAUAAUUAAGGUUCCAAGAUAAGCCUAAAAAAUAUUUAUUAGGCUUAUCUUAAAGCCUAAUAAAUAUCUAAAAAAAAACAAAAAAACAAAAUUCCACCCUAGGCUGUGAUUAACAGAUUAUCUGAUGGAAACAUGAUGAGCUUUUUUUUAGUGAAUUAAGUUCAAUUAAAAAAAAAUUAAGGUUAAAUUGAUGAUUAAUAAUGAAUUUUGUAUACUUUGCACAGGAUUUUCUUAUUCUCGUCAAUUAAUCUUAAAGCGAGGUUCCAAGAUAAGCCUAAAAAAUAUUUAUUAUUGAUCAACAAUAUUGAAUAAUGGCUUAUUUUCUAGUAUAAAUUAUGUUUGAAAUAAAAUUGAUCAUAAGAGUAGAUGAUAUACAAUUAAUGAUGAAAUCGUAUAUUUUGAGACUAAAUUAAGAUUUUUCAAUUAUCUUUAAAUAUUAUGGUUUUAAUAGGUGGACAAUGCAUUCUUUGAAUUUAUUACAAGUAAUGUGUAAUUUAAAUUAUAAAAAAAUAUUUAUUUUUCUGAUAUACAUGAUAAUAAUAAAUUUGAUGAUAGCAACAAGAAAAUAGAAAUUAGUUUGAAUUAGUACGUUUCUCAUUAACAUUAAUGAUGGAAUCAAAAUCUUUGUUAGCGGUCACCUGUUCGACCUCAGUAAUGUUAACGCGUGGACCCAGCUGUUGUAGAAACUUUGCAAAGGAUCUCGAGGAAGAAAAAUGAUUGCAGUGUAAGACUUAAUUACCGAUUCUAUGAUGGGGAAUAAAUAUGUUUAUAACAGAAUUGUAAGUUAUAAUAUGUAAAAUUUAAUUAACGAUUCUAUUAUACGAAAUAAAUAUGUUUAUAACGUAAUCGUAAGCCUUAAUAAUAAGAAAUCAAUAUCUCCAUCUAUUAAUGUUCCUCAUGUAUUUAUUAUUCUUUUUUAUAUAUAUUUGAUACUUUCAAACUCUACUCACUUUAUAUAGAUUGUGUAAAACUUAAGAGAACUCAGUAAGUGAGUAUAGAGAUCAAAUAACAUUAUUUAUAGCCAAAGCUUCCCUCAAGCUUUAAUGGCUAUAUGUCCCACAUAUUUAUUAUAUCAUGGGUAGUUACAAGUGAAUCACUUUAAGAGCUUAUAAAUGUAAAUGUUACAACUUUAAAAUGAACGAUUUUAAGAGUUUAUAAAUAUAAAUAUUAUAAUUUUUAGAGUGGAUCACUUUUAGUGUGAAGGAGAGUUAGAGAAUCGAUUAUAAUGACUCUGUAAAAAACAGUCAACAUGCAUUGCUAAUAAUUUGCAACGGAGAAUUCUUUAUUGAGAUUUAUUGUUAAACCUCGCUUUGGAAUGAAUUGAUCACGAGAAUAAAAAAUAAUCACUACAUACACCCUUUAACUAUUUUACUUGAAAGUUUCGAUUAUUUCCUAAGCUCCUUUGUUCAUUUUCUUUUUUAUUACCCCUUCAUGCACGACACUUUAUGCCACUUCAUGAUACCCUUGUUUUCAACGUUUUACACUACUUUAAAAGCGUGUUUGGUAGUGUGGUUGCGGGUGCUUUUCAAAUAACUUUUCGUGUCAAAAUACAUGCCAAUGAUAUUUUUUUUAUUUUUUAAAAAUUAUUUUUGACAUCAGCACAUCAAAACGAUCCAAAACAUAUAAACCUUAUUAAAUUUUAAUUUAAAAAAUAUUCAAUUUUUUUGGGAACGCAGCCGCAUCCGCGUUCACAAACGAGUCCUCAAGUCAAUUGUUAGAUACUAAAAACAGCAAGAACUGUACUCAAUCAGCAACCACUGUGAAAUUACCACUCAAAAUCCCAUGAAUAUAUAUAAAAAAGAAUUUUGUCUAGAAAAAUUCUAUCAAAUUCUCUACUUUAUUACUCUUCAAUGUUUUACACUGCUUUAGUUCUAAAAAAACUCCUAGAUGUUAUAAAGCAAGAUAUAUACAACUAUAUAUAUAUAUAUAUAUAUAUAUAUAUAUAUGAAAGUGUAAUAAAUAUUAUAUUUUAAAGUAUUUUUUAAAUAUAUUAAAAUAAUAUUUUUUUAAAAAUAAUUUUGAUAUUAGUAUAUUAGAAUAAUAAAAAAAUAAUUUAAAACAAUAAAAAAUAUUGAAAUUUUUAAAAAAUAUGAUUUGACUGAACUCCAAAACACACGCAUGCUCCCUCAGCAGCCACCACGAAAUUACCACUCUAAAUUCCAGCUCAAUAAUUUAUUCUUUAGCAAUUAUUGCUUGCUCUUUGACAAGUACUGCUUUGCUAAUAAUUUGCAAGAAACUUUCUCAAUUUCCUUCUAUUUUCUUUUUAUCAUGGAAACUUUAAGUCACAUACCACUAAAUUACCGAUAAUUAAAUUUCAAUGUGUAAUUGUGUAGGUUUCAAUUAAAAAUGUUUUAAUUUGAGAAAAUUUGUUAAAAAAAUAGUAUAAAUUAUAUUUUAGAGUUUAUUUUAAUAGUUUAAAUUUUUAGAUGAAUAGUUUUCUAACAAAUAAAGACAUAGUUUUACGAUAAAAUGCAUUUUUUAAAAUGAAAUUAUAUUAAAUUAAGCAUGGUCGAGAUUAUUCAAAUUAUUAAUUAAUUAUAAUUAACUUUAUGUCUUUAGAGGAAACAAAAGGAAAGGACAAAAUGAUUAAUUAAAUUUUUAGAUGAAUUAAUAAAUCUUUACAAAUAAAAGAUAUAGUUUUUCAUUUUUUGAAAUGAAAUUAUAUUAAAUUAAGCAUGCUCGACAUUGUUCAAAUUAUUAAUUAAUUAUAAUUAACUUUAUGUCUUCAGAGUAAACAAAAGGGAAGGACAAAAUUAUCUUCCCCACAACGAUAAACCUAGCCCCCUUUCCAAACCAAUCCUCUAGUAAAUAGAAUGAUGGUCCCAUAAAUUGCUUUAUUCUUUCCAGCCCGCCAAGUAGUUUGGUCUCCCUCACAGGACCUCCUUAGCAUGGGAAUCAUAUGAAUUUCCUUGCUUUUCUUCCUCUACGCGUUACCUUUCACCUUUUAUAAUUAUUAUUAUUGCAUUGCUAAUAAUUUGCAAGAAAGAUUAUGAACAUUUUUUUUAGUGAAAUAAGCUCAUUUCAAAUUAACAAAAUAUAGUUUGUUGAGGCUUGUCUUGAAACCUCACUUUGGAUUAAUUGACAGGAAUAAUAAAAUUUUAUUCAAAUUAUAUAAAAUAUUAGGUGUGGAUGUGCCCUUGCCCAACAAGCUACCAUGACCUUAUCUAGAGUUGGGUGUUAACGAGACAAGCCCUUGUCCAACUCAGAGUUCGGCAUAGAUAUAUCAUGACCCAACAUAAAGUUUGGAUGCGGAAAAAAUAUAAUUUCAUUUUGAAUUAUGAUUUUUGUUGGAUAGUCUUUAAAUAAAUUUUUUUUUUAGAAAAUCAUGACCCAUAUCUGGUUAUCGGAAAAACAAUUAUGGUUGAUUUAGCCUCAUCUUCUCUGCUUGUAAAAUUGGGGCAGAUUAUGGACUUAACCGAGCAAUUACCGCUCAAAAUUCCUAGCAAUUUACAAAGGAAUUUUCCUUGCUUUUUCUCAGUAUAUUAUUAGAAAAACCGUCAUUGACUGAUUUAAUUGUAAAGUCUUUGCAAGAAAGUAAAAAAAUUAGUUUUUUAAAAUAAAAAAUAUAGAGAGAGAAAUAAAAAAUAAAAAAUAAAAAAAGGAGCGAAAGGAAACAACCGCCAUCUUUCUUGUUCCUUUUCCCUUCUUUACACGGCGUCCUCGAUGAAAAUAGCAAACACCCCAUUUGAAUAUAUAAUUAAAGAAAGAAAGAAAGAGAGGAAAAUUCCUUCCUCAAUACUUACCGCUACACGCUUCAGAAAUUCCUUGCUUUUUUUUUUUUUUUUUUCAUCUCUACUUACGUGUUACCUUUUACCUUUUAUAAUUAUGAUUAUUGCAUUGCUAAUAAUUUCCUUGCAUUUCUUUAAUAUAUAAUUAAAGAAAGAAAGAUGUUGAACACUUUUUUAGUGAAUUCAAAAUAACAAAAUAAGGUUGUUGAGGCUUUUCUUGGAACCUAGCUCAGGGAUUAAAUUAUAAAAAAAUAUAUUUAUUUUUCUGAUUAUAUAGCAAUAACAAAUUAAAUAAUAGCAACAAGUAAAUAGGAAUUAGUUUGAAUAAAUGGUACCAGUUCCUAUUAUAAUAUAUCUAGAGAAGAAGUUCGAAGAAUAGAAUGAAGUCAAAUAUCCUUACAUAAUGCUAGGUUUUAAUAUAUAAUUAAAAAGUUUUCCAUGAACCAAAUAAUAAAAAUAUUGUACAACUUUUUUGAAUGAAUUAUUAACAUAGAGGCUUAUUUGAUUUGAAUAUAUUAUUUGAUUAGUCCAUUUAUAGGUUGUCUCUAUUAUUCCUGCCUUGCAUUGCCAGGAAAUUUCACUAGAAAUUUCUAGUAAUUUAAACAGGAAAUUUGCUGGUGAUAAACCUGGAAUAUGAUUUUCAACUUUCGUAGGCGAGCACUGAAGUCCCAAACUUCAAGAAUUUCUUUUCUUUUCCUUUUGUAUCUUCUCAUUUUCUUUCUAGGAAUGUUAUGAGAAGCAGCAGAGUCAAGAGGCCAUUUUUGAUCCUGUGGACCGGAAGUAGUUGCAUAGUUAGUCGUAACCUCUGAUCAAUGGAGUCGUGGGUAAGACUUGGCUAAAUGGCCUAUCUGAUCAGGAAAUUGGCAUUUCGGUUGAUAAUGCAUUUGAGUGGUACCGAUUGGUUGAAGACUUGCAGUUGUCUUUGAAUGGACCGACCUUGAGGGAUUUUAUUGUGGCCUGGAGACCGAGAAGAUCCAUUAGUCUUAUUUGAACCCUUCGGGUGAGACCCACCAUAUGAACUAUUUAAGUUCUGUUUGUGAAGAUAAGAAUAAUUGGCAGAGGCCACAAGCUGCUGAGUUGAAGAUUCCAAACGCCGCAGGUAACUGUCAUGCCCCUCAAGAAUAUCUUGAAGCUCUUCAAAUUAUCCCAAUAGUUCUUAUAUUAAAAUCUCAUUUAUCAUAUGUUACAUCUAUCAAAAAAAAAAAAAUAAUUUGUGACGUGAACUAAAGCUAUAUGUGAAAACUAGAAAUAACAAAUGUAUGAAAAAAAAAUCAGCUGUGAUUAACAGAUUAACGAUGGAAAUUAAGAUGAUGAAUAUUUUUUUGUAAAUUAAUUUCAAUUUAAAAUAACUACAAAGAAGUUAAUUAGGAUUCCUUCCUUGAAAUUAUUAAAAAUAUAGUAUUAGAAUUAUAGAAUGCUAGGUUUUAAUAUAUAAUUUUUAAUAUUAAUUGUUAAAGAGUCUCUCUCGAACCAAAUAAUAAAGAUAUUAUAUAACUCUUUUGUAUGAAUUGUAAAUCUAGGGAUAGUUUUGGGUUUUCCAAUCACAACUUUGGACUAAAAUUAAUAACAAAAUAAAGACCAAAGAUAACGGUAUGUAAAUCUAGGGACCAAAAAUAAUACAACUGCAUUUACUGUAGAUUUCACUUAGAAUUUCUAGUAAAUUACAAAGGAAAUUUCUUGUGCUUUUUAACGUACAUGAAUUGAAAAACUACCAUUGACUGACUUGCAUUGACUGACUUGCUAAGCAUUUGCUGCUCGAAAUUUUCUCCCUAAAAAUUUUCAAGCAAUUUACGGAGCAAAUUUCCUUAUGCUCUCUCUUGUAUAUUAUUAGAAAAAUUGUUUUUAAAAAUCAAUUUUUUUUUAUUUUCCUGAGAUUCUAUUUUUUAGUCGAGUCAAUUUCAAGUUGGGUUCAAUAAUUAUGAUUAAAUUUACUGAAAAAAAAAUAAUUUUAUGUCACUUCAUGAUACCCAUGUUUUCAACGCUUUACACUGCUUUAAUAAAUUGUUACAGUAAUAGCACAGAGAGGAGCGGUUCCAGAAAAAACAAUAAUGGAGAUGAAGCAAAAUCUGUGUUUGAUUUUUUCUUUUUUGUGUUUUCGGUACAUUGGUCAACAAUAGCUUGGAAGAGUUUGGAAUCAGUAACACGUGGACCCAGUUGUUGUGGAAACUUUGCAGAGGAUCUUCACUCUGCAGGAAGAAAAAUGAUUUUAAUAGAUGUACUGUACAUCAUUUGAAUUUAUUAAAAGUAACGUGUAAUGUAAAGUAUGAUUCACUUACCAUUAACUAGUUGGACAAAAAAACUAAACUUUCUCAAUUUCCUUCUAUUUUCUUUUUAUCAUGGAAACUUUAAGUCACAUCUGCGCCUACCACGAAAUUACCGAUAAGUAAAUUUCAAUGCGUAAUUGUGUAGGUUUCAAUUAAAAAUGCUUUAAUUUGAAAAAUUAUGUUAACAAUAAUAUAAAUUAAUUUUUCUUCAAAAUAAAAAGUAAUUGGGUAUUAAUUUAGGCUAUAAAGAUAAAAUAAUAAUAAUAAAAAAGAGUUCGAGGGUAUUCAUUUUAUUAUUUGUUAUGUAACUAUAUAAUCUAAUUUGUUGAUGUGGAAAAUAGCACAAAGUUUUUGACAUGGAUAUUGGUGAGAAGCAAAAGCAGUAUCCACUAUGAGAGCUUUUGUAAACGCGUGGACCCAGUUGUUGUGGAAACUUUGCAAAGGAUCUGCAGGAAGAAAAAUGAAAUUUGCAAAGUAUUUGUGUGUAUUAUAUAAUUGUGUUAAUUUAAGGAUUAUUUUUUAGUUGUAUUAAUUUAGAAAAUAUUUUGUCUCACCGGAAAACUCUAAUUACGUUCGUAUAUUUGUUUUUGGUAACAGAUGCAAUAUGCUUUUUAAUUCAAGAUAUAUUAAAAUAAUAAUUUUUAAAAAAAAAUUAUUUUUUUUAUUUUAGUAUAUUAAAAAUAAAAAAUUUAAAAAUAGUAAUUUAAUAUUUUCUUAAAAAUAUAUUUAAAAAACACUUUUAAUUUUGUUUUUCAACUGUACUAUUCCUUGAAAAAACUCAAACUCUAAAUAAUAUCUUCUACUACAUACUUUCUAAGACUAAAAAUUAAUCUAAAUGUUUUUGAAAAGUAGUUCAACCAAAGUACCAAAUAUGUUUAUAUACUCCAUCUUCAACCACUGUAAAAUUACCACUCUAAAUUACAACUCGGUAUCGAUUACCUUUUAUCUUUGACAAUUAUUGCAUUGCUAAUAAUUUGCAAGAAAAAAUACAUUCUCAAUUUCCUUCUAUUUUUUUUUUAACAUGAAAAACUUUAAGUCACUCAAUCUGCAACCACCAUGAAAUUACCGGUCCGAAUUCCAGCUCAAUAUUUACCGGUACGACACGCUUGAGGAAUUUCCUUGCUUUUCUUCCUCUACGCGUUACCUUUCACCUUUUAUAAUUAUUAUUAUUGCAUUGCUAAUAAUUUGCAAGAAAGAUUAUGAACAUUUUUUUAGUGAAAUAAGCUCAUUUCAAAUUAACAAAAUAUAGUUUGUUGAGGCUCGUCUUGGAACCUCGCUUUGGAUUAAUUGACAGGAAUAGUAAAAUUUUAUUCAAAUUAUAUAAAAUAUUGGGUGCUGAUGUGCCUUUAUCCAACUUAGAAUUGCGACAAGCUACCAUGACCUUAUCUAGAGUUGGGUGUUAAUGAGACGAGUCCUUGCCCAACUCAGAGUUUGGCAUGGAUAUAUCAUGACCCAACAUAAAGUUUGGAUGCAGAAAAAAUAUGACUUUAUUUUGAAUUAUGAUUUUUGUUGGAUGGUCUCUAAAUAAAUUUUUUUUAUAGAAAAUCAUGACCCAUAUCUGGGUAUCGGAAAAACAAUUAUGGUUGAUUUAGCCUCAUCUUCUCUGCUUGUAAAAUUGGGGCAGAUUAUGGACUUAACCGAGCAAUUACCGCUCGAAAUUCCUAGCAAUUUACAAAGGAAUUUUCCUUGUUUUUUCUCAGUUCAUUAUUAGAAAAACUGUCAUUGACUGAUUUAAUUGUAAAGUCUUUGCAAGAAAGCUAAAAAAAUUAGAGUUUUUUAAAAUAAGAAAUAUAGAGAGAAAAAUAAAAAAUAAAAAUAAAAAAAGGAGCAAAAGGAAACAACCCCCAUCUUUCUUGUUCCUUUUCCCUUCUUUACAUGGCGUCCUCGAUGAAAAUAGCAAACACCCCAUUUGAAUAUAUAAUUAAAGAAAGAAAGAAAGAGAGGAAAAUUCCUUCCUCAAUACUUACCAGUACUACACGCUUGAGAAAUUCCUUUCUUGUUACCUUUUACCUUUUAUAAUUAUGAUUAUUGCAUUGCUAAUAAUUUCCUUGCAUUUCUUUAAUAUAUAAUUAAAGAAAGAAAGAUGUUGAACACUUUUUUAGUGAAUUCAAAAUAACAAAAUAAGGUUGUUGAGGCUUUUCUUGGAACCUCGCUCAGGGAUUAAUUAACAAGAAUAAAAAAAUCCCCUGCAAAUUAAACAAAAUUUAUUAUUAAUCAUUGAUAUUUAUUAUUGAUCAUCAAUAUUGAAUAAUGGCUUAUUUUCUAGCAUAAAUAAAAUUGUUAAAAAACAUGAUUACACAAUUAAUGAUGAGAUCGGUUAUAAAAAUGACUAAAUUGAGGUUUUUCAAUUACCUUUAAACGUAUCAUGGUUUUAAUAGGUGGACAGUACAUCCUAUUAUGUAAAUUAUAAAAAAUUAUAUUUAUUUUUCUGAUAUAUAUAGCAAUAACAAAUUAAAUAAUAGCAACAAGUAAAUAGGAAUUAGUUUGAAUAAAUGAUACCAGUUCCUAUUAUUAUAUAUCUGGAGAAGAAGUUCGAACAAUAGAAUGAAGUCAAAUAUCUUUACAUAAUGCAAGGUUUUAAUAUAUAAUUAAAAAGUUUUCCAUGAACCAAAUAAUAAAAAUAUUGUAUAACUUUUUUGAAUGAAUUAUUAACGUAGAGGCUUAUUUGAUUUGAAUAUAUUAUUUGAUUAGUCUAUUUAUAGGUUGACUCUACUAUUCCUGCCUUGCAUUGCCAGGAAAUUUCACUAGAAAUUUCUAGUAAACGAAAUUUGCUGGUGAUAAACCUGGAAUAUGAUUUUCAACUUUCGUAGGCGAGCACUAAAGUCCCAAACUUCAAGAAUUUCUUUUCUUUUCCUUUUGUAUCUUCUCAUUUUCUUGGCAUGCGCGCAGCUGCCUCGAGGAAAAAACGUUUCAGAUGCGGAAAAUAAAGAUGAAAGUGGAAAAUAGAAGCGGGGAAAAAAAUCCCAAAUAUCGACAAACAUCACAAGAGAAGCUUGAUAUCUCUUCGUCCCUUGGUAUCGUGUGAAUGUGGAUAUUAUUUCAGAAUAUCAAUUCAACCGUACUCCAAAGAACACUCAUACUCCAAUAUCAGCAACCACCACGAAAGUUACCACUCUAAAUUCCAGCUCAAUAAUUUAUUCUUUGACAAUUUUACUUCUAAAAAAAAUGAAUUUUUUUUUAUAAUUAUACGCCAUCAGCAACUACCAUUACGACUCCAAAUUCCAGCUCAAUAUCGAUCAACACGUGGCUAAAGAAUUUGUUUCCUUUUUUUUCCUGCACGUGUUACCUUUUUAUCUUUUAUAAUUAUAAGUAUUGCGUUGCUAAUAAUUUGCAAGAAAUAAUAUUCUUUCUCUAAAAAGGGCUUGAGAAAACCCUAAGCAUAGUAUAUAGUCUCUUAUAGGAAUCUCUUUAUUAAAUCAUCAAAAUAUCAAAGUCUGUUUCCAAAGACUAUGACUACAGUUUAUAUAUAGAAACAACCAAAUAUAAAAAUUAUUUUUUAAAAAUAGAAAAAACAGAAGAGCUUGAUAAUAUUUAAUUAAAAAAUAAAAUAGAAAAAUUAUUCCUUUUUAAGUAGGAAAAAAAAAUAUAAAGAUUUAAUAAUACUGAAUAAGAAAAAUUAAAAUAUUCUUUCUCUGAAAAGGGCUUAAGAAAACCCUAAGCAUUGUAGAUAAUCUCUUAUAUGAAUCUCAUCAAAAUAUCAUAGUAUAUUUCCAAAUACUAUUACGUACUACAUUUAUAUAUAUAUAUAUAUAUAUAUAUAUAGAGAGAGAGAGAAAGAGAGAGAGAGAUAGAGAGAGAAACAACUAAGUAGGUAAAGCUUAUGUUUCUUUGUUCUUGUUCCUUUAUAUAUAUACAUUCUCAAUUUCAUAAAAAAAAUUAAUUAGUCCUUGAAAUCUUAAAAAAUAGUAUUUAAUCCUUAUGUUAUUAUAUUCAUCUCUAAUUUAAUUUUUUUCAUCCAUUCAUCUUUUUAUUUAUUUAAUAGCUUAAGUUUUUAGUUAAAAGAUAAAUAGUUUUACUAUUAAAAGCAUUUUUUCGAAAUAAAAAUAAUAUUAAAUUAGGCAUCCUCAACAUUGUUCAAAUUAUUAAUUAAUUAUAAUUAACUUGAGGUUUAGAAGAAACAAAAGGGAAGGACAAAAUUAUCUUCCCCACAACCAUAGACCUAACCCCUUUCCAGACCAGUCCCCUGGUAAAUGGAAUAAUGGUCCCAUAAACAGCUUUUUUUCUUUCCAGCCCGCCAAGCAGACUAAGGCCUGUUUGUUUCUGUGUUUUAAAAGUGUUUUUGAUAAAAUUUAAAAUUUUUUUGUUUUUUUUAUUAACUUCAAAUUAAUAUGUUUUUAGUGUUUUUAAAUCAUUUUGAUGUGCUGAUGUCAAAAAUAAUUUUUAAAAAAUAAAAAAACAUCAUUAGCAUGUAUUUUGACACGAAAAACUAUUUGAAAAGCAACCGCAACCACACUACCAAACACACUCUAAGCAGUUCGGUCUUCCUCGCUGGACCACCUUAGCAUGAGAAUCACACUAGUUGGAAGUAUCUUUAAACCUCAUAAAAAUGAAUAACUGAUAAUAAUAUAAUUGGGAUUUAAAAAAAAUUCAUAAAAAAAUUUCUUAAAAAAAUCCAAAAAAUUAAACCGGACAAAAAUAAACAACCAAUAAUAAUAUAGUUAAAAUGAUAAAAAAGUGUUUAAAAAGCAAUUUGAAACCAAUUAAUCUUAAAAAAAAAAAACCAAAAAGAAACAUGCGAUGAAAACCAAUUCAUGAAAAAGUAAUUGGAUAUUAAUUUAGACUAAAAGGAUGAAAUAAUAAAAACAAAAGGAGAGUUUGAGGGUAUUCAUUGUUCAAAGGAACGCAAAAAUGCAUUCCAAGUAUGAAGUGUUUUAUUGUUAUAAAGUUUUUCAAACUUACAAUAUGGAGAGAGAAAUAAAUAAAAAGAAAAAAUAGCAAAAGGAAACAGCCCCCAUCUUUCUUGUUCCCUUUCCCACGGCCUACUCAAUGAAAAAGCAAACACCCCAUUGGAUUUCCCACGGCCGCCCACGAAAUCCCUUUAUCCUCUGCUGUUAAUUUUUUAAUGACGCAUAUCAGGUGUUUGAUAAAAUUCCUUAGCUGGGAAAGGAAAAAAAACCAUGUUAAGAAUGCUUUAGUCCUUUUCGAGUGGAAAGUGGUGUGAAAGUGAGAAGUACUGUGAGAGCUUUAUACCACUUUCUAUCUUAGACGUAAUGGCUUUGGCAAAAAGAAACCAAUAAAAGUUAGUGUUCGCACUGCUUUAGUCCAAGAGUCUUUCAUGGUUGCAUUGAUUGACUGGAAAAAAUCUCAAAGUUUUUAGAAAGAAACAGCCUUCAUUGCUUUUCGAAACCAAUCUCAGUAAUGUUAACGCGUGGACCCAGUUAUUGUGGAAACUUUGCAAAGGACCUCGAGGAAGAAAAAUGAUUGCAUUGCUAAUAAUUUGCAAGAGAGAAUUCUUUCACUGAAUAGAAAAAAGUAUUAUUUUUAAAAUAACAACAAGUAAAUUUAAAAAUUAGUAUUUUUUAAAUAAAAAACUAAAAAUUCCUGAUAAUAUUGAAUAAAAAAUAAAAUAUAAAAAUUAUUCUUUUUAAGUAUAAAAAAAUAUAAAAGUUUAAUAAUACGGAAUAGAAAUAAAUAAAAAUUCUAAACUAAAUAAAAAUAUUUUCUAUCCCAAAAAUUCUUAUAUCAAAAUCUCAUUUAUCAUAUUUUAUAUCUAUAAAAAACUAAUUUGUCAUGUGGAAUAAGUCUAUAUGCUAAAAUCAGAAAAAAAAUGUUACAAAAACAAAUUCCACAAAAGGCUGUGAUUAAAAAGAUGAUAGAUAUUUUUUAGUAAAUUAAUUUCAAUUCAAAAUAACAAAAUAAGGUUUAUUGAGGCUUACCGUUAAACCUUGCUUUGGGAUGAAUUGAUCACGAGAAUAAGAAAUCAUGUGCAAAUUAUACAAGAUUUAUUAUUAAUCAUCAAGAUUUAUUAUUUAUUAUCAAUAUUGAAUAAUGAUUUAUUUUAUAAUAUAAAUUAUGUUUAAAAUAAAAUUGAUAAAAUUAAAAUACAUGAAACGAGGUUGUAUAUUUUGAAACUAAAUUAAAAUCAUUUUCUUUUUCUAUUAUAUCCUUCAAAAUUAUUUAUUUUAUAAAAAACAAAACUUGUUAGUUUGCAAGUACACAUGUCAUGAGUCUCCACUGCAUCACUUUUGCAAAAUCAUAUGGCCCACUGUAUAUUUUGAAACUUGUUGAAGCAAAAUCUGUUUUAUUGAUCAUCAUCAAUAUUGAAGAAUGAUUUAUUUUCUAGUAUAAACUAUGUUUGAAAUAAAAUUGAUAAAAGACAUGACAUAUACAAUUAAUGAUGGGAUGGUAUCUAAAAAUGAUUAAAUUGGCAUUUUUCAAUUACCUUUAAACAUGCAUAUCAUGAUUUUAAUUGGUGGACAAUACUGUUAAAUAAUAUAUUUAUUUUGUUUUAUUUAUUAAGAUUAAAAUAAUAUUUUUAGCUUAAUCUAUAUAUAAACUCUUUAUAUUUAGAUUAAGCAAAAAUAAUAAUAUAUAUCAGAAUUCUAGUCUCAUUCCUUUUCGUAUUUAUUUUUAUGUUAAUUAAAUUGUUUUAACAAUACAUCAUGUAAAUUAUAUAAAAAUAUAUUUAUUUUUCUGAUAUAUAAAUACCUCUCUGUCCCAUUGCUGCCAUUUCAUAGCUAACUCUUUGUUAUAUUUAACUUCCUCUUCUUUGCUUCUUGCUCAUAACGAUAACUUGAAAGCCUUACGUUCAGAUAGAUAAUCAUUGACUAGCUCAUCCUAUAUCAUUCUAUUCAAUUUAUAUAUGCAGAAAGAAAAACGCAAGCAAUCCAAAGAUGAAGAAAACGCUUCAUCCUCGCGAAAGAGAAGAAAAGCUGACCUCAGUAAGCCUAUAUAAAGAAUACAAUUAACCUCAUUUCAACAUCAUAGUUAACCUCAUUUCAAUAUCAUAGCUUUGGAAUUUCAUAGCUAACUCUUUGUUAUAUUGCUCCAUUGGUAAUUGAUUGUGCCUUGAUUUCUGCAGCUGCCAUGACAGAGCCAGAGUCUUCUCGAUCUAUACCAGAAGGGGCCUAUGAUGUCUUCUUGAGUUUUAGAGGAGAAGAUACUCGCAAGACGUUUACUGAUCAUCUAUAUGCUGCCUUAGAUCAAGCAGGAAUCCACACUUUUCGAGAUGAUGAUGAACUUCCUAGAGGAGAAGAAAUCUCCGAGCAUCUUCUCAAGGCAAUUCGAGAAUCAAAGAUAUCCAUAGUUGUCUUCUCAAAAGGAUAUGCUUCUUCUAGAUGGUGUCUCAAUGAACUUGUAGAGAUUCUUAAGUGCAAAAGGAAGAAAACCGGUCAGAUUGUUCUUCCUAUAUUCUAUGACAUUGAUCCUUCAGAUGUGAGAAAACAGACUGGCAGUUUUGCAGAGGCAUUUGAUAAGCAUGAAGAGCGUUUUGAAGAGAAGUUGGUGAAGGAGUGGAGAAAAGCUCUUGAGGAUGCCGGAAACCUAUCUGGAUGGAGUCUCAAUGAUAUGGCAAAUGGGUAUGCCUUUUUUCCAAAUUUAUGGAGUCAAUAUACUUUACAUUUUUUAAUGUGAAACAAUAAAAUACUUAAUUGACUCGCUAUCAAUGACUUGCUUUUGUCUAUGAGCAGGCAUGAAGCAAAAUUUAUCAAAGAGAUUAUCAAGGAUGUGUUGAAUAAAUUAGAUUCCAAGUACUUCUAUGUUCCUGAGCACCUAGUAGGUAUGGAUCGGCUUUCUCGCAAUAUUUUUGACUUUGUAAGUACUGCAACAGAUGAUGUACGCAUNNNNNNNNNNNNNNNNNNNNNNNNNNNNNNNNNNNNNNNNNNNNNNNNNNNNNNNNNNNNNNNNNNNNNNNNNNNNNNNNNNNNNNNNNNNNNNNNNNNNNNNNNNNNNNNNNNNNNNNNNNNNNNNNNNNNNNNNNNNNNNNNNNNNNNNNNNNNNNNNNNNNNNNNNNNNNNNNNNNNNNNNNNNNNNNNNNNNNNNGAUGAUAGAGGAAAAGUUCUGAUCAAAGAACGACUUCGUCGCAAAAGAGUUCUUGUUGUUGCUGAUGAUGUGGCUUAUCUGGACCAGCUAAAUGCUUUGAUGGGAGAGCGAAGUUGGUUUGGUCCCGGAAGUAGAGUAAUUAUUACAACAAGAGAUUCAAAUCUUCUUCGUGAAGCAGAUCAAACAUAUCGGAUCAAAGAGCGACUUUGUCGCAAAAGAAUCUUGUUGUUGCUGAUGAUGUGGCUCAUCAGGAGCAGCUAAAUGCAUUGAUGGGAGAUCGAAGAUGGUUUGGUCCCGGAAGUAGAGUAAUUAUUACAACAAGAGACUCAGAUCUUCUUCGUGACGCAGAUAAAACAUGUCAGAUCGAAGAAUUGAAACUAGAUGAGUCCCUUCAGCUUUUCAGCAGGCAUGCCUUUAAGGACACCAAGCCAGCAGAAGAUUACAUUGAGCUUUCGAAGAAAGCCGUUGGUUACUGUGGAGGACUUCCUUUAGCUCUCAAGGUUAUAGGAGCUCUUCUGUACGGGAAAGAAAAAGAUAGAUGGGAAAGUGAAAUUGACGACUUGAGCAGAAUUCCAAACCAAGAUAUUCAAAGAAAGCUUCUAAUAAGUUAUGACGCACUUGAUGGUGAACUACAAAGAGCAUUCCUUGAUAUUGCAUGCUUCUUUGUUGGUAUAGAGAAAGAAUACGUCGCACAAGUGCUAGGAGCCCGUUGCCGUCGCAAUCCAGAAGUUGUUUUGGAAACUCUCCGUGAAAGGUCUCUGAUUCAAUUUCAUGAGUGUAUAAUUGAAGAUGAAAGGCAGUUAUCUGGAAGGACGGUAGCCAUGCAUGAUCUAUUACGAGACAUGGGAAGGGAGGUCGUUUGUAAAGAGUCUCCCUUGCAUCCUGAAGCAAGGACCAGAAUUUGGAAUAAAGACGAUGCAUGGAAUGUACUUGAGCAGCACAAGGUAAGUAAGAGCUCAAUGCAUACACGAAAGCAUAGUCAUGCGUAUUUUCUAGUCAAGCUUAUUACAAAUAAUUGAAUGAAAGUUGUAUUGAUUUUUUUUUUAGGGUACGGAUAAAGUUGAGGGUCUUGCACUGGAUGUCAGAGCAUCAGAAACUAAAUCACUUAGCGCAGGAUCAUUUGCAGAAAUGAAAUGUUUAAAUUUACUCAAAAUCAACGGAGCACAUCUCACCGGAUCCUUCAAAUUGCUUUCUAAAGAGUUGAUGUGGAUUUGUUGGCAUGAAUUUCCUUUGAAAUAUUUUCCAUCUUAUUUUACUUUGGACAAUCUAGCUGUUCUUGAUAUGCCGUACAGUAACCUCAAAGAACUAUGGAAGGGAAAAAAGGUGCGAAACAUGCUACAAUCCCUAAAAUUUCUCCAGUAUGUAAUUUAUAUUUACAUGUUAUGACUUUCUAUGAUUAAUUUUCAUUAUUUUUCUCUCUAUUAUAACAGAUUCUCGACAAGCUUAAAAUUCUUAAUCUCAGUCAUUCUCAGCACCUUAUUAAAACACCAGACUUGCACAGUUCAAGUCUAGAGAAACUAAUUCUGGAAGGUUGCUCGAGUUUAGUUGAGGUGCAUCAAUCAAUUGAAAAUUUGACGAGCCUUGUUUUCUUAAAUCUGAAGGGAUGUUGGAGUCUGAAGACUCUCCCUGAAAGCAUUGACAAUGUAAAAUCUCUUGAAACUCUGAAUAUUUCUGGGUGUUCACAAGUUGAGAAAUUGCCGGAACGCAUGGGUGAUAUGGAAUUCUUAACCGAGCUGCUAGCUGAUGGGAUUGAAAAUGAGCAAUUUCUCUCUUCAAUUGGACAAUUAAAGCAUUGCAGAAGGUUAUCAUUGUGUGGAGACAGUUCGACGCCACCAAGUUCUUCUUUGAUUUCAACAGGUGUUUUGAAUUGGAAACGUUGGCUGCCAGCAUCUUUCAUUGAAUGGAUAUCAGUGAAACAUCUUGAGCUUUCUAAUAGUGGUUUGUCUGAUCGCGCAACUAACUGUGUUGAUUUCAGUGGUUUGUCCGCUCUAGAAAAAUUGACUCUAGAUGGAAACAAAUUCUCUAGCCUGCCUUCUGGGAUCGGCUUCCUUUCCGAGCUAAGGGAGUUGUCUGUUAAGGGAUGCAAAUAUCUUGUAUCAAUCCCAGAUCUUCCCUCAAGUUUAAAGAGUGUGUUUGCAUGUGAUUGCAAAUCAUUGAAAAGAGUAAGAAUACCAAGCGAGCCAAAAAAAAGACUAUUUAUAAAGCUAGAUGAAAGUCAUUCGUUAGAAGAGUUUCAGGGCAUUGAAGAUCUAAGUAAUUGUUUCUGGUAUAUUCGUGUUGAUGACCGCAGGCAUUCAACAAGUAAAUUACUGGAGCGUUGUUGAGGUACUAUUUCUUUCCGUCUCUCUUUCGCACAAAAAGAAACACACACAAUUGACACAUACAUUGAUUAAUGUCUAAAAUCUCAGCAUUCCUUGAAAUCAAUAUGUAUAUAGGCAAUAAUCAUUAUUAUUAUUAUUAUAUUUAAAAAAACAAAUAUCAUCUUUAAUAAUAUUUUUUUAUUAAAUAUUUAAAGUCUGAUUGGUUUUAUUUUUUAUUUCUUGAUUUUAUGAUAAUAUAUUUAUACAGGCAAUGUGCAACGGUCGUCACGGGUAUUUUAUUCGCCACACUCCUGGUCAGAUGCCAAAUUGGAUGAGCUACAGGGGAGAAGGACGCUCAUUGUCAUUCCAUAUACCUCCAGUCUUCCAAGGCUUAGUUGUUUGGGUUGAUAAGGAUGAUAAGGAUGCUCACAUUAUUAUUAUUAUAAGAAAUAAUAGAAAUGGUAAUCUCUUGUUUCAAUGUACGAAAUGGUAUUAUCAUCCAAAAACUGGAAGUAUAAGAU